CAGGUGCGUCUACAGUUAGCAUUUCUAAGUUCUCUAUUGCCAUUCAGAUGGAUUCAUCGGUUGUGACUCUUUCAAGCCAGUGCCUUGAGUGAUUAGCUGGAAAUUUUGAAAGUUUCAUGUUCUGAGCAUAGAGAAGCGCAACCAUGCAUCUUGAUCAUUUAUCAGAGGCUUUGUGAACCUAGAAAGUACCCUGUUUUUCUAGGGAAGCACAAGUAUGAGAUGGAACAAUUAGUGUUACUAAUUAAUUUCCUGUUACUUGAAAGAUAUCUUAGUGUGCUUCUAUUUCUAUUUGAACUACUAAAUGUUUGCAUGUAAACUCAUUAUAUAUCUGGUGUUGGUUUAUAGCUCGCAAUGACAUUACAUUGACAAUGUGAACUGACUGGUGAAUUUUGAUGUGAUAGCGUAAUAGGCUUUCCUAUUUUAUCGAAUUGAUGGAGAUGCUGAAUGCUCAUUCAAGGCCAAAGGUUAGCAAUUAUCUGCUUUGUUCGUAGCUUUUAGAUUCAUUAAUUCUUUUGCUCUCUCCAAAUAGUCAUAUGGGUCUAUGUCUAGUUGCCUCAAAGAUAUUAUAACUUGUACCAUUCAUCACCUUGACUUUCAAAGGCUUCUUCUAAUUUAUGGUCACUUGUUCUUUGCCAUUUACUCUCUCGUUUUGUUAAGUGAACACUUUAUGUGAAAUGGUCUAACUGCUAAAUGCAUUGAUACAAUAGAAAGAAAAAGAAGCUAGAAACUUAUUUGGUUCUUUAGCUGUUGUACUUCGUCAGCAGCCAAUAAUCUUUGGAUUCUUCCUUCUGGUAGAACAUGAAACGUUUUAUUGAUUGAUUAUGCUUUUACCAUCUAUCUCCAAUGAGCUCAGGAUUGAGGCCUUGUUAUUCUCAAAGGUUACUCAAUAUUGAAAUUUCUGCUCUAUUUCAAUGUGCAGAACUGGUUGGAGUUGCUUCCAGGAAAAUGGCGUCUAUUAUACUGUACGGGGAGACAAAUAGGAUUGACCCUUCGUCAGCCUUCUGCUCGUGUCCUGAUUGGUGAUGUUUAUCUAACUAUAAAUAGAGCAUCAAAACUAAAUACUAGUAUUUCCUUCACAUCGGACAUUGGCUUCACGGUCAUGAAUGGUCGAGACUGGCCUCAUGACAAAAGUGGUAUAACUGGGAAAUUGGAAGUAAACUCUUUAUUCCGGUUGACAUCCGGGAGACGGUUGUAUCUGAAGGAGGAAAAGACAUCAGAGAAGCUAUCAUUUGGGCAACCAAACAAUCAAGAUUCUUUAGCCCAGAAAUUGUCAGCUAAAAAAUGGAGGAAGCUUGUCCCGCAUAAGGAGUUUCCAUCGAGCCUUCCAGUGGCCAAACUUGUUUCAGCUGACAUUGAGGUGACAAUGAGUCUCGGGGACAACCUUAAUCAAAAUGAUGUUACACCAAGCAACAUAGUUCAUGAACUUCGCGUGCAAGUUCCACCUGAGAUGUUUGAUUUGUCUAGGCUCGUCUGUGGAACAUAUGUGGACUCCAGACUGCUAGUCCUUCGCGGGGUCAAUGGAUCAGCUCUCUUAUUUACAAGAUCUAUGUGUUGAUGAAACCUGUAGAUAGCCAUUGCGCGCAAGUACUGUAGAUAGAAAUUGCUGUUGGGAGUGUAAUUAGCUGUUGUGUUCUUGCUCGUGUAAUUUGUACAGUCGAUUAAUCGAAGAAGAUCAACCUUUUCCAAAUGCGCGGCUUGAUAUCGAGUGGCUUGUCAAAUGUUGCAUUGUUAUAAAGCUUUAUUUGAAAAAUGAUUCUAAAUGGCUUGUUGCAUUGAUAUCUGAGUGUAAUUAUAUCCUAAAUGUCAUGUAGUCCUUAUUUCACUUGUGAUAAUGGCUUUGUUAGCCAUGAAUGAUUAUAGCUGUUAAACUCUACCUGGCUUUGUUGAUUGAUUCUGAAAAUUCAAGGCAUGGAUUAGGGCUGGUUUUUUUUUAAUUGAAUAUUUUUACGGACAAAUCAUUUCAAUGUGACCGGAAUUUUAGUGACCUGUUGGAGCUAAUCGGAUCAAUAAUAAAUAAAAAAAAGCAACAUUAUUUUAAUGAAAAAAUUGACCCGGUGUUCCAAUUUUGGAUGAAAAAACUAACAGCAUCUCAUCACCCGGAUGUGAAGUAUCAGAUCAUCACAAGGAGAAUCAGAAGACUAUUUUUGUAAAAACUUUAAUGUCAUAAAAAUAUGCAUGUGGUAGGGCCCGGGGGUGGACUUGGUCUUCUUUUUUGUUUUGUAGGCGCCCACCAUUCUCAUCAUCACCGUGACCAUAGCGCCAUUGUAGCCAAUAAAGAAAAGAACCGCACGAGUGCCGUUUUUAUAGUUUUGUGACGAGGAUUCCCUGAUCGAACCAAAAAGCCUCCUCGUCACCAAUUAAUGCUCUAUGAUUUUAUCAAACCCACUUUGAUAUCAUAAUUUUAAACAUGAAAUAAUACCUCUUAUAGAGCCAAUCACGCAACGGAUUUAAGCCAACAUCGUUACUUUCUUUCGUCAAGAUGCCGAAUAUGCAGAAUAAUUCUCGUUUCAUAUGCAAGAGCGCGAUCACAUAUACCGCAUUACUACGACGACGUACCCUUGCAUGAGAAGUGGCCUCGCGAGCUACCUAUAUAUUGCGUUAUUCAGAGAUCAAUAAUUCCAUAUUAUUGAAAGAAAGGUGCAAAAGGAACAUCUUGAGAGACCUUAGCAGAUGGGAUGGCUUUUGAAAGUUAAACAUACUAAUUGCAGAAGCAGCACACAUAUAUGAGAAUUCAAGAAACUUGAAACUCACCCAACUUAGAAAUCUAACAUGUUCCUUAAUUAAGGGGGAAACAUGGCUCCAUUUCAUUCACUAUUAUUUUGCUAGCUUGACUUACAGAGCUAUUAAUUAGGGAAAUGGAUUAGAUCCGUGCAUAGCCAAAUGUAGCACCAAAGAUCUUGAUUGCCUUUUCAGCACGAACCUUGUAAGAGAUUGUUGCAGUAGCUCGGUUCUUAUGUUUAAUAAACCUGACCUUGUCACCAACUUGUAGCUUCUUGCUCUUAACAAAUGCAACCCAACCUCUUGUGAGGUCUGGCUUCGGGUACUGUCCUGUCUUGCGGAUGGAGCAUUGAAAGGUCCAAGCUUUGCCUUUCUCGUCUGUAGCUUCAAACGUGACGGCAUGGCUGCCUAGUUUGAAAGGUGGAAGAGACCUGAGAAAUCUGAUAGGAACUGACAGCCUCUUCUUAGUAUCAGUCUUUCCGAGGAUCUUCCAGAAGUUUGCCAUUUUCGAGGACAAGCAAAAGAGAAGCAAAUGAAAUGAGUUUCUUCUUGCUUGUGGGAGCUUUCCAUUUCCUUGUUUAUAAUAGCAUCGGGUAUGCGAAAACCUAAAUAUUAAAAAAUAUUAUUUUAAUUAUUUUAUGAUUAUUUUGCACACAAGUCUAAAGGAGAUGAUAAAGAAAAUAUCUUUUCUUUUCUAUAAAUAGUAUUCGUACAUUUUUUUUUUAAAUCAAAACAAGUAAAGUAAAGUGAGAAUAUUAAAAAAUAAAUCAAUUAAAUAUAGCUAUAUAUAUAAAAAAUAACGUCCAAUUUAUUAAAAAAUAAUAAAAUAUUUAAUUUUUUCACUUUAAUAUAAUUAGAUCUUCAAAUAGUUUAUUUUAUUAAAAUAAAUAUAAUAAAAAAAUUAUAUUUAUAUUAUUUAAAAUAUUAUUUUAUCAAUCUAGCUAUUCAAAAUAUCUUUCAAUUUGAGAAGCUGUAAGUAACCACCAGGACCUCCCUCCGCUUCAAUUAAAGUAAAGGUAGUUACGUAAAGAGCUAGCAUGAUUUAUCCACCGCGCGAUAUCGCGCGAUAGCGCGUAUAAUGUUAUAUAUAUAUAAUGUUAAUCGUGCGAUCUCGGUAGAUGGCAAGGACAAAAAACAAUGCUAGAAGUGACAGACAAGAAUGUUAUAUAUAUUCAGAUAAAAAAAGAUCAAAAGAAGAAUGAUAUACAUAUAUAUUGUAAGGUAAGAAAAAAAGAAAAAAUAAAUCCAUGUCUGGUGCUAGCUCCAAGCGAGGCAAUCCCUACGUUGUCAAGACUCUGAAGUCUGAAUUGAUGUGACCAUUAAAUAAUAAAAAAUAAUAAUAAAACAUGGAAUUUUAACCAAAAAUCAAUUACGCAAUUUACUUCAUGAGGUUUCUCCCGGUGGUGUCUUGAGCAUUGAAGAUAUUUGUGAUAGCUCUUUUUUUUUUUAAUUAUAAAGAAAAAGAUUAUUUGAUAAGGUUAAUAGUUUUUUUUUUAUACUAUUGCCCAUGUAUAAUUAUGUUUCAAAUUUUAAUUUUAUAAAAUUUAGAAUAAUCUUUUCUAUUUACUUUACAUAAAAAAUUCAUCCCACAGUAAUUAUAUACACACACUGUUUAAUGAUAAAAUUUAGAUGAAUUGCCAUUUCUUGCACUAAUAGAUGCUAAGCGGGUGGAGCCAAUUUUUGCUUUUUACAUAGAAAAGCAAGUGAAAUGUUGUUAUUUAUGUAAUUAAGUUACAUAAAAUGUUUUGAUUUUACGAAGUUAUUCGAUGCGGUGAUAAAUCAGCAUGUUAUUUACCUAAAAACCAUGUUCAAGUUAAGGAAAUAAAGGUAAGGUGAUAUCCUAAUGUAAUUAAAUAUAUCUAAGUACUGAGCUUAAGUAUAUAUGAGUUUGAUAAAUUACUAGAUCUAAUAUUUUUAAAUUUAAUCAAGCAUUGAGUUCAAGCAUAUAUAAAUUUGAAAAGCUAUCAAACCUAACAUCUUUUUAAGUUCAUGUAUAGAUGGGUCUGAUAAGUUAUCUAACCCAGUAUUUUUGAGCUUAACCAAGCAUUGAACCCAAAUAUAUAGGUCGGUGUGGUGAGCUACAAGACUUUAGCAUUUUUAGGUUUAGUCAAGUAUUGAGCCCAAAUAUAUAUUAGUUUGGCUAGCUACUUGACUAAGCAUCUUUAGAUUUAGCCAAACGCUGAGCCUAGACAUGUAUAAAUCAAUCUAGAGAUCUACCAGACUCAACAUCUUUGAGUUCAAUCAAAUAUUGAGCCUAAACAUACAUGGAUCUAACGAACUACAAGAUUCAACAUCAUUGGAACCAGCCAAGCGUUGAACCUAAAAACAUGUGGCUCUAAUAAUCUUAUCAUGCUCCAUAUUGAACCACAAGAUUUGAUGAGUCAGAGAUCUUUUUUCCUGUGAUAAGUUAAAAAUCUUUCUUCUGUGAUGAGGUAGAAAUUUUGUUUUCCUCUUGAAUACAUAAAAGAUAUUUUAACACUAUCAGAAAAAGAGGACUUUGGGGGUCCUCCCCUCGAUAAAAAAAAAAAAAAUCAUGGACUCUAAUAGAUACUGGCAUUUUCUCUAAAAAAAGAUACUUAAACAUCAGAGAGUCGCUAAAUUUACAAAAAGAGACCUAUUAUAGGCAUCAAUCACCAACCACUUUGGCUUACCAGGCACUAGGUAUCGGCUAUUAGCCACCUUGACUGAUAAAUAAUCAACUCGAUAUAAUCAAGAGAUUAACUGAUUAUUCGACACAUAAAUCUUAUUUCUAAGCUACUCUUGUUAAUUGACAUUGCUGAUGAAAACUGAUAAGAACCAUCGACUAUUCUUCAAAAACUAGUUUAUUAAAUAGAUGUCAUGACUGCGCGAUGCCGCGGGCUUGUGUGUUGUCGUGGGUUUGUGAAAAAAAAUUAUAAAAAUUAUAUGGAGAAAAACUGUUGCAAUCCAUAAUGUUUUCAAGAAAAAACUACAAAGCUAAAUUCUUAACUAAAUUAAUAUUUAAAAAAUAAAAUGAACAAAGAAAAUUUUGAAAAAAAUCAUAAAAAAACCUGAAGGAAAAAAAAACCAUACAGGGAAAUACUGUAGCAAUCUAUAGUGUUUCGUGAGGAAAUCUAUAGCUGUAAUUCUCAACCAGCUCAAUAUUAAAAAUAAUAAAAUCGAUAAAGAGAAUUUUUUAAAAAAAUCAUAACAAAAAAAAGCAUGUGGGGGAACACUGUAGCAAUCUACGGUGUUUUAAAGAAAAAACUACGAAGCUAAAUUCUCAACUAGCUCAAUAUGAAAAAAAGAAAAAACGACAGACAAUUUUGGAAAAAAAAAACCAUGUGGAAAAACACUGUAGCAAUCCAUAGUGUUUUAAAGAGAAAAAACUAUAAAGCUAAAAUUUCAACCAGCUCCAUAUUAAAAAAAUAAAAUCAACAAAAAUAAUUCUGAAAAAAAAAACACAAAAAUAUGAAAAAAAAAGAAGACAAUUUUGGAAAAAAAAAGAAAAAAAAAGGAAAAAAAAACAUGUAGGGAAAUCUAUAGUUGUAAUUCUCAACCAGCUCAAUAUUAUAAAAAAAUUCAACAAAGAUAAUUUAAAAAAAAAACAUAUGGGGAAACACUAUAGCAAAACAAAAACCAUGUGAGGAAACAUUGUAACAAUCCACAGUGUUUUUUUUAAAAAAAACUAUGACGCAAAAUCGACAAAGACCAUUUUGAAAUAAAAAAAAGAAAAAAAAUUCAUAAAAAAAAGGUCAUGUAGGGAAACAUUGUAGUAAUUCAUAAUGUUUUUUUUUUAAAAUAUAAUUAAAUUUCAACCAGUUUAAUAUUAAAAAAAUCAAUAAAGAUAAUUUUAAAAAAAUACACAAAAACAAAAAGGAAUAAAAAAAGAAGAAGACAAUCUUGGAAAAAAAAGAAAAAAAAACUAAAGCCCCAAAAAAAAGGGAAAAAAGGAAAAAAAAUGUGGGAAAAAAGAAAAAAAAGAAAGGCAAAACAAAAAAAAAUGAACAAACAAAAAAAAAAGAAAAAAAAAGCAUGUGGUUGGUAAAAAAUUAUAGUAUUUUCCCCGUACCUUUUAAAGUAUUAUUUAAUAUCUCUAAUUACCAUUAAAAAUUAAAAUAAAAAAUAUAAACUAAAACACCCCACCAGGAGGACAUAUGAUGGGCCUUUCUACAGUUGUUGAUAUAUCUGUUAUGUCAAAAAUCCAAUAACUCUUCGAAGGGAGUAACUACCACCCUUUAGGACAAAGCGCUUUUGGAAAAAGAGAAAUCAAUUUCCAUAACUAGCACAAAGCGCUGUUGACUUCCCCUUGCCCAUAAAAUUUCCACCAGAUCUGUUCUUCAAUUGGAAAAAGAGAAAUCAAUUUAGGUUUUCUUAGGAGAGAGAAAUUAUGUUUGAAGAGAGAUUUGUAGUGUUUGUAUUAUAUUAUACACGAGGAAAAAUUUAUAUUUUCAUUUAAAUUUAAAAAUUAUAUUUACCUAGAAUUAUAAUUAUAAAUAAAAACUGGAGUAAAAAAUAUGAAUAAUAAGAAUAAUUUUUUCAUUAAUAUAUAUAUAUAUAUAUAUAUAUUAACAUAACUAAAAAAUCAAUUCAAUCUCGAGUAAAAUAAAAGAAAAGAGUCGAGCUAUAAAUUACGAAUUUUUCAAAUUGAAUUCAUCAGACACAGGGGCGGAGCAGGGAUUAGUUAAUAGAGAGGUCAAAAUAUAAUUUAUUAUUAGAAAAUUUAUUUAUUUAAAAUAAAAAAAAUACUAUAUUAUUUUAUAAAUAAACACUAAAUAAAUAAAAAAUCUAAAAUAUUUUGCAGGGCCCGGGCCUGCUUGCCUCCCCCGGUUCCGCCCCUGAAUUUCGACAUUACCGGUUUAACAACCUUGAGCAUAACAAUCUAUAAUAAUAGAAUUAUUUUUUUUUAGCUCCAAAACAAAAACGUGGGAAACAACUAAAAGUGACGUGGCAGAGAUAGGAGUGUGCAACGUACGCAAAACACAAAAAAUAGCAGGAGGUGAAAAGUAGGAGAUAUUCGGAAAAACAGAAGUUGACACUAGCCAAGCCCAGGGCUCCGGAUUCCUGCACGCGUCUCUCACUCUGUUCUCUGUUUCUUCACACUUUCCUCUCCAUCCUUCUGCUAACUAACUCCUCUCUUAAUUAAAAAAAAUAAAAUUCUUAGAGUUGUAACGGAUUGAUCAACUGAUGGCGGCGACGGCGGCAAUAAAUGGAGUCGGAUUCUGCUCCUUUUCUGAUAAUUUGUCGACGAUGAAACUGAUUAAACGACGUAGUAAUGGUAUUAUCAUCGGUGCGAGAAGCAGUUCUUCUAGGAGAGAAGUAGGGACGGUGCUGGGGUGUUCGUCGCCGAGUAAGGCCGUGGCUCCGUUGGAAUCGGAAGGAGAUGUGUGAUUGAGGAGCAGGAGGAUGAGAUGUUAUGAGGUUCAAGAUGUCUGAUUUUUAAGGUGCUUGAUCGUGUCAGUAUUGGCCUUGGUGGCCGGGUAAGCCAGAAAACUCUACUUCAAUUUUUUUUUUUUAAUCUUUAUCUGUUAAAUAUUGUUAAUUUCGUUGUGAUUUUCGGUUAUUAACACUAAGGAUAGUGUUUAAUGUCCAAAAGUGAUUGUUCUUAGCACUGCUAAUUAUGCCAUGGAUAACUGAAUUGGGGUUUUUCUAGGCGGAUUGGUUUUUGAAGCAAUAGUGAAGGAUUCUAAUAGGUUAGCUUUCUUUUCUUAUUUGAUUUUUUGAUAUUGUGUGAUUAUUGGAGGUGAUGAGUAUAAUGUGGAAUUGCAGCCCUUUGUAUAACAUUAAAGUUGUGCUUAGGAAACUUGUCAGUACUCAAGCAAAACGUAGAGGAAUGCGAGCAAUAGAGGUUUGGGGCUUUGUUUUGGAGUUUUGUUUAUUUGGUAUUUGAGGUUUUGAAUAUUGGUGUAACUUUGGUGUUGUUAAAGUGUUUUUAGGUGUUGAAGAAGCUGGUUCGCCGUAAACUUAUGUACCAUUCUUAUUCGAUGCAAUUUCAUGGUUAUAUUUCUUCACCUUCUAGUGGCCGUGGUUCGUUUACUCUGGCACAUUGGGUAUGUUCUGUUUCUGUGUAAGGUUUUGAUAUUGCGUGUGCAUUAAAUGUUUCGUUGUGUGAAGCCAUUUAGUUAUUUAUGCUAGGUAGGUUAGUCUUUCUAGGACACCCCUGUUGGAGAUUUUCUGUUUUUAUUGGACAAACCUUCAUUUCUCUGCAUGUUGCGUGUGGAUGCAGUUCUUCCCAUGUUUCAAUUUUUCCAUUUGUGAGUUUAGGGAUGUGAAAGUUUACGUCUUCCUUUUUAUUUUAUGGCAGUAUCAUGGUAGUUUUUCUUUGAGACAUUGGCUUCAACAAUCAGAUUGGCUUCCUACCUUGGAAGCCAAUCUUGCAUUGGAUGAGGAAUCUGUCAGGAGGGUGGGAGAUGACACGGUUGGAGGACCUGCUGUCUCUCGGCAGUUGCGAAUAACAUGCAUAUUGAUGAGGGAUCUAUUGAUUGGUAAUUGUAUUAUCUGUGCACAAAUAGUUGCCAUUUGUUGUGCACAACUAAAGUGUAAGGUGUUUGUUUUGCUUACUUAAGGUGAACUACUUGCAGAGUCAUGGACUUUCGGAUAUAGAGUUGAGGCUGGAGAAUGUGCAUAUAAGCCCAGAGGAUAGGCAUAUUAAAGUAAAUGCAAGCUUUCCCCCCUCUUAUGGCUGUUUUUUUAAUUUUAGAUUCUCUGAAUUUAGAAUUAAAUUUGAUAUAUAUAGAAUAAGGAAAGAAAUUCUUUAAGGAGAAGGGCGUUUGAGGAAAACUCUUGUUGAUUUGUGCUUUCUGAUACAACACUUGAUGCACAACAUUUCAGUUUAUCUAUUGAAGUCAAAUUUUAUUUCUGGUAUUCUGCUUUGAAAGUUUGGUACCUCUUCAACAGCAUUGAAUAACGGUAAAUUUUUGUGGUUCUAGAAUUCUGGUUGAGGAAAGGUUUAUAAGCACAAAUAUUGAGGAACGAAACAAGACAUGAAUAAAUCAGCACCAUUGAAUUAGUGCACCUCCCACACAUGAUUGCAUUUGACAUGAGGUAUGAAUAGAUAGAUAGACCUAAUAGUGUAUCCAGUUAGCGCUGCUAGCAGAGCUACUGAUGUCCUGUAGAUAGCAAUUGCGUACAAAAUGCAGAUAGAAAUUGCUGUUGGGAGUGUAAGUAGCUGUUGUGUUCUUGCUCGUGUAAUUUUUACACUCGAUUAAUUGAAGAUCAACCUUUUCAUGGCUUGUCAAAUGUUGCAGUGUUAUAAAGCUUGAUUCGAAAAAUGAUUCUAAACCUUAAUAAGAAGACAGCCAGAGGUAGUCAAGAUGAUACCAAACAGACUAUAAAACCAUCAGCUUCUGCUUUGGUACGUUCAUGCUCAAUCGUUUUUGCAGCCACGAGCCAUUCUCUAGAUUCCGACCGACCUAAAAUGAUGCUAUGGCUAUAUAUUACCAGUCAUGUCAAUCCAGUUAUAACCAGAGCGUCAAAGAUUAAAUGUCAUGUAGUCUUUAUUUCACUUGUGAUGUGAAGUAUCAAAUGAUUCAAAUCAUCGCAAUGAGAAUCAUAAGAUUAUUUUUGUAAAAACUUUAAUAUCAUUACAUCUGAUGGAAAUAUAUCUUUUAAGAGUCUAGGGCCGAGAUGUAAUUAUGCACGUGGUAGGGCCCGAGGGUGGAUUUGUUUUGCGGGCGCCCACCAUUCUCACCAUCACCUUGACUCUAGCGCCAGUGUAAGAAAUGAACCGCAAGAGCGCCGUUGUUUUGUGGACGAGGAUUCCCUGAUCGAACCAACAUUAAUGCUCUAUGAUUAUAUCAAUAUUCUACGACGAUAGGAAGUCGAGGAGGAUUCAGGUAAUUUAUAAACCCUAGCUAUAUAUUAUCUCUCUAUUUCAAGAGGUGUAAUUUCAAGAUGAUCAAACCCCCACUUUGAUAUCAUAAUUUUAAACAUGAAAUAACACCUCUUGUAGAGCCAAUCACGCAACGGAUUUAAGCCAACAUCGUUACUUUUUUUCGUCAAGAUGCCGAAUAUGCAAAACAAUUCACAUUUCAUAUGCAAGAGCUACCUAUUGCGUUAUUCAGAGAUCAGUAAUUCCAUAUUCUUGAAAGAAAGGUGCAAAAGGAACAUCUUGAGGGCAUACUCAAGAAUGUUUUGAGAGGUAACAUCCAUGUCUAGUGCUCGCUAAAUGAAGCAGAAUAAAGUCGCUCAUUUCCCCUUCUCCUCCUCUCGCUUGUAGCAAGUCUAAAAGAAUAAAUUCGCCCCUGGUAACGUUCCAGCCUUCUAUUAGAUACCUUGGCCAAAGAGGAGUCAGAUUAAUAGAAUUAAAAGAUUAAUUGAUUAUCCAGCAUAUAAAUUUUAUUUUUAAUUAAGCUACUUAAUUUUUUAGAAUCUCAUUAAUUGACGUUAUCUGUGAAAAUUGAUAAAAAAGCCUUCGUCUAUUAUUCGACAACUAAUUUUUAUUUUUUGGUAACCCGGGAUGUCCGGGCCAGCUUGCGCGUACCACAACUAAUCCCCGGACUUACUGAUCAUCCUGCAAGCCCAGUGAACAUGUAAGGCACCGCGGGGGUGACAGACGUACACAAGUGGGGCUUGAACCCUGGUGUGGAGGAAGGGAACAAGUCCCUUCAACCACUAGGCCACAACCCCAUGUGUUCGACAACUAAUUUAUUGACAUCCCUAAUCAUUGUUAAAAUAAAAAAAAUCAAAACACUCCCGAAAUGAAACAUAUCAUAAUCUUUCUAUAGUUGGUGACACAUUGGAGCUCCAGCAAGUAACUAUCACCCUUUUUAUUCUGCUUCUUCUUUCUUGGACCACCCAAUCCAACAAACUAAAAUAGAGUGCAUCAAACUUAAGGGUGAGAGAGGGUUCCAAGUUCAUAUCUCCAUUUGCCACAUCCUCCCUCUCCUAAAUUAACACGAUACCCCACGGUCAAUCAACAUCAUCAACACAGAGUGAAAAUUUCAAUCCACAGGCUACCCAUGAACCAGUUCUUAACCGUACACUUGGCUGCAUUUAAGAUCAAGAAGGUAAAAAAAUCCAAAUAACUAGCACAAAAGCUUUUGGGUUGUUUGCUUCCCCUUGCCAAUAAAAUUUUCAAUUUAGGGUUUUCUUAGGAGAGAGAAAUUAAGUUUGAAGACAGAUUUGUAGUGUUUGCAUGUACGAGGAAAAAAUUAUAUUUACCAAGAAUGUAAAUUUUUAAUUUUUAAAAACUUGAGUCAAAGUGAAAAAGAUAUGGAUAAUGAGAAUACUUUUUUCAUUAAUUUUUGUUUUAUAUACAUGUAUUUAAUAGAGUGAGUACAUAACUAAUAAGUCAAUUCAAUCUCGAGUAAAAAUAAAAAAGAACCGAGCUAUAAAUUACGAAUUUUUCAACUGAAUUCAUUAGACAUUCCGGGUUUAACAUCCCUGAGGAUAACAAUAUAUAAUAAUAUAAUUAUCUUCUUAGCUCCAAAACAAAAACGUGGGAAACAACGAAGAGUGACGUGGCGGGGAAAGGAGGGUGAACCGUACGCAAAACACAAAAAAUAACAGGAGGUGAAAAGUACGAGAUAUUCGGAAAAACAGAAGUUGACACGAGCCAGGCCCAGGGCUCCGGAUUCCUUCACGCAUCUCUCACUCUCUUCUCUAUUUCUUCACACUUUCCUCUCCUUCCUUCCGCAAACUAACUCCUCUCUGAAUCAAAAAAUAUUCUUAGAGUUGUAACGGAUUGAUCGAUUGACGGCGGCGACAGCGACGGCGGCCGCAAUACAUGGAGUCGGAUUCUGUUCUCUUUCUGAUAAUUUGUCGACGAUGAAACUGUAAGAUACCACUCAGUAACAAUAAUUAAAUAGCUACUUCGAGGGAGCUAAAUCCUCCUGAUACUCUGUUUUUGCUGAAAUUAUACUCCCAUUCUUAUUAAUUCUCAUAACUUAAAUAGUAAAACAAUUACUGAAAUUAAACGACGAUUAACAACCCAUAAUUAAUACUAUUCUAUAACGGAAGUAACUUCCAAUUAAUUAUUUCAUAACAGUUCUUUUUCCUCAAGACCCACAAUCAAGUCAUCCUCCUUCAUCAAAGUUAAUAAUGAUUGUGUAACCGAAGGCCACGUCCUAACAGUCCCAUGACAAUCCCUCCUCCAUCAAAAGACCUUGCCCUCAAGGUCAGGGAAGUCUCUUUGCAGCUUAUGAAAUUCAACUCAGGAGGCGUCAUUGACUUCCAUCCAUUUCCAUUUAACCAACAGCUCGCUGACAGCCCGCUCAUUCUUCUUUUUGAGACGUCGCUGUAAAAUUUCUUCAGGCUCUGCUUGUGGACCACCUCCAACAGUUAAUGGAGGAAUAGUAGUCGCCAGCAUAUUUCGAGCACCAAGCUUUUUCUUCAAAACUGAAACAUGAAACACGGGGUGAAGGAGGGAGGUGGAGGGAAGGUUCAAACGAUAAGCAACACCACCAAUCCGUUCUAUUAUCUGAUAAGGUCCAUAAAAUCUGGGAGAAAGCUUGAGAUUUUUGCGCUGCACAACUGAAUGUUGUUUAUAUGGUUGUAGACGAAGGAAGACCCAGUCUCCUACUUCAAAAUGUCGUUCAGUACGUUUUAAAUCUGCAAAAUGCUUCAUCCUCUCUUGAGCCACCUGUAGGUUCCCACGUAAUAGGCGCAAGAUCUGAUCACGGCUCUUCAGAGUGUCUUCCACAGACUGAACUGCAGCUGUCCCUGGCGAAUGAGCCAACAAAGGUGGGGGUGGGUAUCCGUAAACUACCUCAAAUGGUGAGAGUUUAGUAGAAGCAUGAAUGUUGGUAUUAUACCACCAUUCUGCAAGAGGCAACCAGCGUGACCACUCCUUAGGCUUAUCCCAGAAAAACACCGUAAAUACUGCUCCACACAUUUAUUCACAAUCUCUGUUUGACCAUCCGUUUGGGGAUGAUAAGCCGACGAAAAUUUGAGCUCAGUCCCAUGCAAUUUGAACAGCUCCUUCCAAAAUAGGCUAGUGAACACAGGGUCUCUAUCACUGACAAUAGAUGUAGGCAUUCCAUGUAGUUUAAAAAUAUUGGCAAUAAAAAUCUGUGCAAUUUUAGUAGCUGUAUAAGGGUGCGCAACUGAGAUAAAAUGCGCAUACUUACUCAAUCUAUCAACCACAACCAAAAUCACACUGAACCCAUUAGAAAGAGGCAACCCCUCAAUAAAGUCUAAGGAGAUAUCUGCCCAAACCUUUGUAGGAAUAGGCAAAGGUUGGAGAAGACCUGCGGGGUGGCUGGUCUCAUUUUUGUUGCGUUGGCAAAUAUCACACUCUUUAAUGAACUUCUUAAUGUCAGCCUUCAUGCCCAUCCAAUAAAAAUUAGCUCUAGCCCGAGAUAGAGUUUUAUGGAAUCCUGAGUGGCCUGCCUGAGGGCUUCCGUGAGAUAAGUGGAGCAACUGAUUCUUGAGAACACUAGAAUCACUAAUAUACAGCCUGCCCUUGUAAAAUAACAACCCAUCCUUCAUGUCAUAUUUGGUCUCAUCCAAAUUGUGCCCUGCAAAAUCAGAAAUCAGUUUUUGUAAUUUGGGAUCCUCUGAAUAAGUCCCGUAAUGUUGAAAUCCAGUUAUCAGCAGGGAAUGACAAGGCAGUCAGCAUUGCUGGAGCAUUGUCAAAUUUCCUGGACAAGGCAUCAGCGACCAGAUUUUCUUUGCCUUUCUUGUAUUCCACCAAAAAAUCAAAGCCUAACAAUUUAGUUAGCCAUUUUUGCUGCAUGAGUGUCCCUAUUUUCUGCUCAAAUAGGUACUUAAGACUUUGAUGGUCCGUCUGCACUUGAAAAGUUUGCCCCAAAACAUAAGAACGCCACUUCUUGACUGCCAAAACCAAGGCCAUGAGCUCCUUUUCAUAUGUAGAUAGAUGCAAGGCCUUCCCAUGAAUAACCUGACUCAUAAAAGCAAUGGGUCUUUCUUGUUGCAUCAAAACAGCACCUACACCACAACCAGAAGCAUCACAUUGAAUAAUAAAGGGUUUAGUAAAGUCAGGAAGAAUUAAGACAGGGGGGUUGGUUACAGCAUUCUUAAGGGCAGUGAAAGCUUCUUUGGCUGUAGGGGUCCACUCAAAGGAAUUUUUUCGGAGUAAAGAAGUUAAAGGAGCAGCAAUAGAACCAUAACCUUUAAUGAAUUUGCGAUAAUACCCCGUUAGACCAAGAAAUCCCCUUAAAGAUUUAAGGGUGGAAGGAAAAGGCCAAUUUAACAUAGAUUCAAUUUUUUUAGGAUCAGCCCGGACUCCAUUUUUAGAGAUUAAAUGACCAAGAUAUUCAAUCUCCUGACACCCAAAGGAACACUUAGAUUUUUUUGCAAAAAGCUGAUGAUUUUUUAAAAUAUUCAAUACCACUGUUAAAUGGUGUUGAUGCUCUUCCAAAGUUGUGCUAUAAAUAAGAAUGUCAUCAAAGAAAACUAACACGAAUUUUCGCAAGAAGGGCUUAAAAAUAUGAUUCAUGAGAGAUUGAAAAGUGGCUGGAGCAUUUGUAAGGCCGAAGGGCAUUACGAGAAAUUCGUAAUGGCCUUCAUGAGUGCGGAAAGCAGUUUUUGGGAUAUCCUUGGGGUUAACUCGAAUUUGAUGAUACCCGGAACGUAAGUCUAAUUUACUGAAGAUAGUUGCCCCAUGCAACUCAUCUAGAAGUUCAUCCACAAUAGGAAUAGGAAAUUUGGCCUUAAUGGUGUCUUUGUUCAAAGCUCUAUAAUCAACACAAAGACGCCAACUACCAUCCUGUUUACGAACUAAAAGAACUGGAGAAGAAAAGGGACUAUGACUAGGACGAAUGAUACCCGAACUAAGCAUGUCAUUAACAAUCUUUUCAAUUUCAGUUUUUUGAAAAUAAGGGUAGCGAUAUGGUCCAACACAUACUGGUUUAGCCCCUGGUUGAAGAACAAUAUUGUGGUUAUGGUCACGAUUUGGUGGCAGACCAGCGGGUUCACAAAAAACUUCCUGAAAUUGGUCAAGUAAUUCAACAAAGAAGGGUUCAGUUUCAAGAGUAGAAAUGCAAAGUGCAUCAGGUGAAAGUAGUUGUAAUACCAAACCCCGUUUGUCUUGAUUCAUAGCCUUUCCAAACUGCUCCCCAUUCAUCAAGGAAACUUCUGUGGGUGUAAUGCCCUGUAAAACAUGCCUAGAAUCCAAGAGAUUAAAUUCCAUGCGUAAUUUAACAAAAUCCCAUAAAAUAGGCCCUAAGAUACUGAGCCAUUGAACUCCUAACACAAUAUCACAACCACCCAAAGUCAAAACAUAAAAAUCUGUGUGAUAAGUGUUACCCUGCAUGUGGAACGGAAUAUCCACACAUUUCCCUGUACUGCACAAGCUGUCCCAUUGGCUACUUUCACCAAGAGUCAUGUUGUUGCUUGUAAGUGAAGAUGCGCUCGUUGUUGAAUUGAGGGUCCAUGAAAUUAUGGUGCUCCCGGUAUCGAUGAGGAUCACCACAGCACAACCAUUAACAUAUCCCAGAAUGCGCAUGGUUUUGGGGCUCGGAGAACCUGCCAACGCAUGAAUGGAAAUCUCAGGUGCUGAUUCUGAAUUUCCCUCACUUCCUCCUGAAAGACUAUCAGUUUCUUCUAAAAGUCGAGGCUGCUGAAUGAGUUGCAGCUCUUCCCCUUCUGAAUCCUCACAUUCCAUUAUAAAUAAACGAGCUGAUUUGCAUUUGUGGCCCGGACCCCAUUUUUCAUCACAGUUGUAACAUAAUCCCCUUGCUCUCCUCUCUUUUAUUUGUACUAGGGACAAGCGUUGGAUUGGAACAAGUGCCUUCAUAUCUGAUGUUGGUGAGUUAGGAAGUGGACGUGGGGACGUAGAUCCCAACGGUGAACUCCGCCUGAGAGCAGCCACAUUUUCCUCCUGCAUUUUUGCCAUACCAAAAGCCAUUGUGAGGCUAGAGGGAUUUAACAUACGAACCAUGAAACGAAUAUCCUCUCGUAAGCCACUUAAAAAACAACUGAGCUUGUAUGGUUCUACCAACCCUUUAAGUUGAUUAGAUAAGAUCUCAAAUUGGGACUUGUAAGCCUCCACAGUUGUAGUUUGUCGUAGCCUUGUAAGAGUCUCCAUUGGAUCAUCCAAAAUGGAAGGGCCAAACCUGGUAAGUAAAGAUUGUGUGAAGCCAUCCCAACUAGUGAUGCUACCCGAGGACUCUAAGUCCUGAAACCAAGUGAGAGCUUUACCCUCCAUGUGAAAAGAAGCCAAGAGGACUCGAUGAUGAGGGUUGGUUUGAUGAUACGUAAAAAAUUGAUUAGCACGAUAAAUCCAACCAUUGAGUUCUUAACCAUUAAACUUAGGAAAGUCAAGACGAAUAGCCCGUGUUUGAAUGCCACCCUGUUCUUCAAACAAAGGAUUUCGCAUGUGGGACCUUGCCCCAGGUGAAGUAUCCUCUGUCUGCUUCCCGUGGGACAUUGACCCAGAUGGAGUAUCCUCUAUUUGCUUCCUGUGGGUAUGGACCAAGGUGUCCACAUUAGCAACCACCAAUUGUAAUUGGUUCGUCAAGCCUUCAAUUGCCUGUUGCAAGGCUUCUUGAUUUUGGUGCUGAAUUUCUUGAGUUUGCCUAACUGAGGCCAAGGAUUCCACAAGUUGUGAAUAACAUGUAAUAUGCCCAUCAACCAUGGAUUGAACGGUUCUGAUACCACUUGUAAGAUACCACUUAGUAGCAAUAAUUAAAUAGCUACUUUGAGGGAGUUAAAUUCUGUUUUUGCUGAAAUUAUACUCCCAUUCUUAUUAAUUCUCAUAACUUAAAUAGUAAAACAAUUACUGAAAUUAAACGACGAUUAACAACCCAUCAUUAAUACUAUUCUAUAACGGAAGUAACUCCCAAUUAAUUACUUCAUAAUAGUUCUUUUUCCUCAAGACCCACGAUCAAGUCAUCCUCCUUCAUCAAAGUUAAUAAUGACUGUGUAACCGAAGGCCACGUCCUAACAGUCCCAUGACAGAAACUGAUUAAACGACGUAGUAAUGGCAGUAUCAUCGGUGUGAGAAGCAGUUGUUCUAGGAGAGAAGUAGGGACUGUGCUGGGGUGUUCGUCGCCAGUAAAGCCGUGGCUCCGUUGGAAUGGGAAGGAGAUGUGUGAUUGAGGAGGAGGAGAUGUUAUGAGGUUCAAGAUGUCUGAUUUUAAGGUUCUUGAUCGUGUCAGUAUUGACCUUGGUGGCCGGGUAAGCCAGAAAACUUUGAUUUAUAUAAUUCUUUAAUAUAUAUAUAUAAAGAACACAAAUAUUCCCAGUCUUCAUUUUUUUUUCUUUAUCUGUUAAAUAUUGUUAAUUUCGCUGCGAUUUUCGGUUAUUAACACUAAGGUUAUUGUUUAAUGUCCAAAAGUGAUUGCUCUUAGCACUGCUAAUUAUGGCAUGGAUAACUGAAUUGGGGGUUUUUUUAGGCGGAUGAGGUGGUUUUUGAAGCAAUAGUGAAGGAUUUUAAUAGGUUAGCUGUCUUUUCUUAAUUAAUUUUGUAAUAUUGUGUGAUUAUUGGAGGUAAUGAGUUUAACGUGGAAUUGCAGCCCUUUGUAUAAUAACAUUAAAGCUGUGCUUAGGAAACUUGUCAGUACUCAAGCAAAACGUUGAGGAAUGCGAGCAAUAGAGGUUUGGGGUUUUGUUUUGAAGUUUCUUUAUUUGGUAUUUGAGGUUUUUAAUAUUGGUGUAACUUUGGUGCUGUUAAAGUGUUUUUAGGUAUUGAAGAAGCUGGUUCGCGGUAAACUUAUAUAUGUACCAUUCUUAUUCGAUGCAAGUUCAUGGUUAUAUUGCGUGUGCAUUAAAUGUUCGUUGUACGAAGCCAUUUAGAUGUUUAUGCUAGGGAUGUUAGUCUUUCUAGGAGACCCCUGUUGGAGAUUUCCUGUUUAUUGGACAAGCCUUCAUUUCUCUGAAUUUAGAAUUAAAUUUGAUAUAUAUAGAAUAAGGAAAGAACUUCUUUAAGGAGAAGGGCAUUUGAGGAAACUCUUGUUGAUUUGUGCUUUCUGAUAUGACAACACUUGAUGCACAACAAUUUCAGUUUAUCUAUUGAAGUCAAAUUUUAUUUCUGGUAUUCUGCUUUGAAAGUUUGGUACCUCUUCAACAGCAUUGAAUAAUGGAAAUUUUGGUGGUUCUAGACUUAUGGUUGAGGAAAGGUUUAUUAGCACAAAUAUUGGGGAACGAAACAAGACAUGAAUAAAUCAGCACCAUUGAAUUAGUGCACCUCCCACACAUGGGUACAACUAUCCACUGUUUUCAGCUCCAUAACUUCUGCUAUAAAGCACUACAUCAUUGAUUAAGUUGUGUAACAUGUGGUUUCUUUCUUGCGUUGAUGUCUUACUUUGUGAAACUUCUGAAAUUCCAACUUUUCAGGUAGGGAUACUAGGGAAAGCUGCUGACUUUUACGAGGAUGGUCCAUAGCAGCACAAUGGACAACAUGGACAGACGGCAGAUGAUGAUUGCAUUUGACAUGAGGUAUGCAUAGAUAGAUAGACCUAAAAGUGUAUCCAGUUAGUGCUGCUAGCAGAGCUCCUGAUGUACCGAAUUCUGUUUCAUCCCUGUUGAAAAGAUGUGUAGGAUUUAUGAUGGAAAAAAUUGUGCUGUGGGAACUCAUGGAUCCAUUAAUUUUAAUGAAGUUCAAAUCAUUCCUCAUGAAGGUACAACAUGCUAGUCCCCUUUUUUUUUUCUUUUUUUUCCUGUAAAGCUUUUGGAUUAAUCAAUCCAGAACCUGGUGCAUUUUUUGUUGACUUGCAUUUCGUCUCUUGAUAAGCUCAAGUUUCUCUUUAUAAGACUGGACAUUGGCAGUCACUUUAUUUGCUCAAUAUGAAAAAAAAUCCUAUAGUAUCAUAUGCAGUACUCAUCAUGUGUUGGUACUGAUCCUUAUUAGGAAGUUGUAUUGGCAUAUUGAGUGUUAACUGUGUUACCAAAUUUCUCUUUUACGUAUGAGUGCAGGGAAAUGAUCCUUCGUGCUUGCAUGAAUUUUUAUUGCAAAUCCUCAGUAGGAAUUCUCCAUCUGGAAAUGUUGGACUCCAAGUAGUACGAAAGCAAAUUACCAUACUUUUAGCUACACCUUUCACAAUAUCUAUAAAGAUUGUUUUUUGUUUCUUCUAGAUACUAACUGUGGUGCCGGUUGGAACCUUUUAUCCUUGUUAUUGGCAACCAAACCUUCCAAAAGAAUAAGGUAUUCAUCAGUUCAUCUCUUAUUAGACAAUAGCAAAGACAACACGAGGCUAACCAUAUUGAAUGGAAUCUGAAUUAAUUUGAGAGAGAUGAGGCAUCUAUGAUGACUAUUUUGAUUUGUUUUGUAGUUGUUUGGAUGCCCUCAGGCAUCCAUUUCUGUGUGGACCAAGAUUACAGGUGGCGCCAUCCAUGGAUAUCAUCAGAUGGGGUCUUGGCUCAACUGCAGUUCGAAUUACAGAGGAAAACAUUUAUAAGCAGCCCCAGGUGUCUCUACAGUUAGCAUUUCUAAGUUCUCUAUUGCCAUUCAGAUGGAUUAAUCGGUUGUGACUCUUUCAAACCAGUGCCUUGUGUGAUUAGCUGCAAAUUUUGAAAGUUUCCUUUUCUGGGCAUAGAGUAGCGCAAGCAUGCAUCUUGAACAUUUAUCAGAGGCUUUGUGAACCUGGAAAGUACCCUGUUUUUCUAGGGAAGAACAUGUAUGAGAUGGAACAACGAGUGUUACUAAUUAAUUUCCUGUUACUUGAAAGAUAUCUUAGUGUGCUUCCAUUUCUAUUCGUACUAUUAAAUCUUUGCCUAUAAACUCAUUAUAUAUCUGGUGUUGGUUUAUAGCUCGCAAUGGCAUUAGGUUGACAAGGUAAACUGAUAGCGUAAUAGGCUUUCCAAUUUUAUCAAAUUGAUGGAGAUGUUGAAUGCUCAUUGAGGCCAAAUGUUAGUAAUUAUCCGAACAACAUGUUCGUAGCUUUUGUAGAUUCAUUAAUUCUUUUGGUCUCUCUAAAGAGUCAUAUGGAUCUAUGUCUAGUUGCCUCAAAGAUAUUAUAACUUGUAUCAUCACCCUUACUUUCAAAGGCUUCUUCUAAUUUAUGGUCACUAGUUCUGCUAGUCCUGCACGGGGUCAAUGGAUCAGCUCUGUUAUUUACAUGAUCUAUGUGUUGAUGAAACAUGUAGAUAGCAAUUGCGCACAACUGUAGAUAGAAAUUUCUGUCGGGAAUGUAAUUAGCUGUUGUGUUCUUGCUCGUGUAAUUUGUACAGUCGAUUAAUUGAAGACCAACCUUUUUCCAAAUGCAGUGCAGCCUGAUGUCUGAGUGGCUUGUCAAAUGUUGCAAUGUUAUAAAGCUUUAUUUGAAAAAUGAUUAUACCCAGUGAAGACAGCCUCAAAGAUUUCCGAGUCAAAUGCGCCAUGUUGCUAUGAAAAUAAUUUCAUUUACCACACCCAUUGAAAUAUUGACAAGUAUAUGUAUUUUGCAUCAAAAGAAGAAUUGGGCUCAUGUUAGGUUGAUAUGAACUUUAAUAAACCUUAAUAAGAAGACAGCCGAAGGUAGUCAAGAUGAUAUCAAACAGCGUAUAAAAGCCAGCUGUCUUAAAAAAUUAUUUUAAUCCAAUAAUUUAAGUUGUUAGUUAACUUAAUAGCUUAAGCUUGUAGAAAUUUAUAUUAUUUUAUAUUUAAUUUUUAUCAAAUAAAUAAAAAUAAUAAAAUUUAAACUCGUAAUCACUUUAUUAUCAAGCAUCUGAUAUCAUAUUAAAGAACCAUUAUAAUUUAAUAAUUUAAAUUAUUAGAUAAAAUUUCAAGAUAUAAUUUAUAUUAUUACAUAACAAGCAGGAAAUAACUUCAGAUUUGGUAUAUUCAUGCUCAAUCGAUUUUGUAACAACAAAACAUUUUAUAGAUUCCGACCAACCUAAAACGAUGAUAUGGCUAUAUAUUACUAAUUUACUAGUCCAACACAAACCUCUAUUGCUCAUGUCAAUCCAAUUAUAACCUCAAUUAAUAUCAUCUAGUCUUUAUUUCACUUGUGAUUAUGGUUUUUUUAGUCAAAUGAUUAUAGCUGUUAAACUCUACCUGGUUAAAAUUCAAGACAUAGAUUAGGACUGGGUGUUUUUUUAAUUGAAUGUUAUCACGGAUAAAUCAUUUCAAUGAAUUCGGAAGUUUAGUGACCUGUUGGAACUAAUCGGAUCAAUAAAUAAAUAAAAACAACAUUAUUUUAAUGAAAAAAUUGACCCGAGGGUGGAUUAUCAGAUUAUCGCAACGAGAAUCAGAAGACUAACAGCAUCUCAUCACCCAGAUGUGAAGUAUCAGAUUAUCGCAACGAGAAUCAGAAGACUAUUUUUGUAAAGACUUUAAUGUCAUAGAAAUAUGCAUGUGGUAGGGCCCGAGGAUUUUGUCUUCUUCUUUGUUUCGUAGGCGCCCACCAUUCUGAUCACCAUCACCUUGACCAUAGCGCCAUUGUAAGCCAAUAAAGAAAUGAACCGCACGAGGGCCGUUUUUAUAGUUUUGUGAUCGAAGCAACAAGCCUCCUCAUCACCAAUUAAUGCUCUAUGAUAAUAUCAAUAUAUUCUACGUCGAUAGGUAGUCGAGGAUUCAGGUAAUUUAUAAACCCUAGCUAUUAUCUCUCUAUUUCAAGAGGUGUAUAUAUUUUCAAGAUCAAACCCCCACUUUGAUAUCAUAAUUUUAAACGUGAAAUAAUACCUCUUAUAUAUAGAGGCAAUCUGGCAACGGAUUUAAGCCAACAUCGUUACUUUCUUUCGUCAAGAUGCCGAAUAUGCAGAACAAUUCACAUUUCAUAUGCAAGAGCGCGAUCACAUAUACCACAUUACUACUACUGCGUACCCUUGCAUGAGAAGUGGCCUUGCGAGCUACUUAUUGCGUUAUUCAGAGAUCAGUAAUUCCAUAUUAUUGAAAGAAAGGUGCAAAAGGAGCAUCUUGAGAGACCUUAGCAGAUGGGAUGGCUUUUCAAAGUUAAACAUACUAAUUGCAGAAGCAGCACACAUAUAUGAGAAUUCAAGAAACUUGAAACUCACCCAACUUAGCAAUCUAACAUGUCCCCCUAAGCGGGAAACAUGGCUCCAUUUCAUUCACUACUGGAUGUACAGAAUAAGCCACCCAUUAAUUAAUAACAACCAACGUGUAGUUUAGUAGAGUAGAAUUACGACUGAGGAAACUUAGUAGAGUAGAUAAAAUUACGACUGAGGAGAAGAAAACGCAAAAGUACAGAAAGGGACUCGAUGCAAGCCAGUGCAUGAAACCGACACUAUUAUUUGAUAGCUUGACUUACAGAGCUAUUAAUUAGGGAAAUGGACGAGAUCCGUGCGUAGCCAAAUGUAGCACCAAAGAUCUUGAUUGCCUUUUCAGCACGAACCUUGUAAGAGAUUGUUGCAGUAGCUCGGUUCAUAUGUUUAGUAAACCUGACCUUGUCACCAACUUGUAGCUUCUUGCUCUUAACGAAUGCAACCCAACCCCUUGUGAGGACCGGCUUCGGGUGUCCUCUCUUGCGGAUGUAGCAUUGAAAGGUCCAAGCUUCGCCUUUCUCGUCUGUAGCUUCAAAGGUGACGGCAUGGCUGCCUAGUUUGAAAGGUGGAAGAGAACUGAGAAACCUGAUAGGAACUGACAGCCUCUUCUUAGUAUCAGUCUUUCUGAGGAUCUUGGAGAACUCUGCCAUUUUCUAGGACAAGCAAAAACGAAGCAAUGCUUAUUUAUAAGGAGCCACCAUCUACUUACCUCCACUUCAAUUAAAGUAAGGGUAGCUACGUAAGAAACUAUCAUGAUUUAUCCACCGCACGAUAUCGCGCGAUAUCGUGCGAUAGCGCAUGUAUAUAUAUAUUAAUCGUGCGAUCUCGGUACAUGGCAAGGACAAAAAAACAAUGCUGGUAGUGACACUCAAGAAUGUUAUAUGCAGUGAUAUUAAACCCGGUCCGGUCUGGUGGGUUAAUCUAGAACCCGGUCGAUCCAGUGACUAGACUAAUCUGGGUUUAGUAAAAGACCGGCUAUAACAACAGCCCGGUCAAACUCGUGUGACUCGCGGAUCAACCUAUGACCCAAGUGAACCCGGACGAGACCCGGUUAUUUUUUUUUUCAAAUGUGGGAUUUGAAACCUAUUAGUAUAAAUACUCUAUGUUUCUAAGAAAAAAAUCAUAUUUUUUCAAUGUGGAUAAAAAAAUUUUUUGGUUUAAACACUUCAACUUAAAAGGAUAACACCUUUCGAAUAUAUAUUCUAUGUUCCCAAGAAAAAAAAUCAUGAUUUUUUAAUAUAGGAUAAAAAAUAUUUUGGUUUAAAUACUUUAACUUAAAAUGAUAACAUAAUAUCUUUUCAAUGUGGGAUUUGAAGCUCUUUCGUAUAUAUACUCUAUGUUCCUAUGAAAAAAGUUAUGUUUUUUCAAUAUGAGAUUUGAAACCCAUUAGUAUAUAUAUUUUAUAUUCUCAAGAAAAAAAUCAUGUUUUUUUAAUGUGGGAUAAACAAAUUUUUAGUUUAAGUACUUCAACUUAAAAGGAUAAUAUAAUAUCUUUUCAAUGUGGAAUUUGAAGUCCUUUUAUAUAUAUACUUUAUGUUCCCAUGAAAGAAGUUAUGUUUUUUCAAUGUGAGAUAAAAAAAAAAAUUAGUUUAAAUACUUCAGCUUAAAAGUUUAACAUAAUAUUUUGUUAAUGUGAGAUAAAUUUUUUUAAAAAAUAUUCUUUUAAACUUCAUUGUUUACAAUAUGUAUAACCUAUAUUUACAUGCAUUUUCUUAUAUGAAAUAUUAUAUAUUUAUUUAUUUAUUAUUUUUUUCAAGUUAACCUGGGUUGAUCUAUUAUACCCGGGACCCAACCCCUUAGCUUGGUUAAGGUUUAAUAAUAGAUCAGGUUUAAUAACUAUGGAAACUAUAUAUAUAUAUUCAAUCAAGAAAAAUCAAAAGAAGAAUGAUAUAUAUAGACACACACUUAAAAAAAAAAAAAAAAAGUCUCAGAUCAAAAGAAGAAUGAUAUACAUAUAUAUUGUAAGGUAAGAAAAAAAGAAAAAAUAAACCCGCGUCUAGUGCUAGCUCCAAGUGAAGCAAUCCCUGCGUUGUCAAGAUUCUGAAGUCUGAAUUGAUGUGACCAUUAAAUAAAAAAAAAACAAUAAUAAAACAUGGAAUUUUAACCAAAAAUCAAUUACGCAAUUUACUUCAUGAGGUUUCUCCCAAUGGUGUCUUGAGUAUUGAAGAUAUGUUGUGAUAGCUUUUUUUUUUUAAUUACAAAGAAAAAGAUUAUUUGAUUAGGUUAAUAGUUUUUUUUUAUACUAUUACUAAAAUUAUGUUUCAAAUUUUAAUUUUAUAAAAUUUAGAAUAAUUUUUAUUUAUUUAUUUUAUAUACAAAAAUUCAUCUUACAGUAAUUAUAUAUAUACUGUCACAACUAUUUUUUUUUAAAAAAACUACAACCCAUAUCAUUAUUGGUCUUUUAACACAUAACUUUCAUAUGCAUAACUAGUACAUAGUUUAAUGAUAAAAAUUUAAAUGGAUUGCCAUUUCUUGAGCUAAUAGAUGUUAAACGGGUCGAGUCAAUUUUUGCUUUUUAUAUAGAAAAGCAAGUGAAAUGUUGUUGUUUAUGUAAUUAAGUUACAUAAAAUGUUUUGAUUUUAUAAAGUUAUUCGAUACGGUGAUAAAUCAGUAUGUUAUUUAUCUAAAAACCAUGUUCAAAUUAAGGAAAUAAAGGUAAGGUGAUAUCCUAAUGUCAUUAAGUAUAGCUAAGUACUGAGCUUAAAUAUAUAUGAGUUUAUGAGUUUGGUAAAUUACUAGAUCCAGUAUUUUUAAAUUUAAUCAAGCAUUUAGUUUAAGCAUGUAUAAGUCUGGCGAGCUACCAGACCCAACAUCUUUUUGUGCUUAUGUAUAGAUGGGUCUGAUAAGCUACCUGACCCGGUAUUUUUGGGUUCAACCAAGCACUAAACCUAAAUAUAUACGUCGGUGUGGUGAGCUACCAGACUUAGCAUUUUUUGGUUUAGUCAAGUAUUGAGUCCAAAUAUAUAUUAUUCUAGUAAGCUACUAGACCCAACAUCCUUUUGAGCCUAAAUAUAGAUGAGUCUGGCUAGCUACUUAACUCAAUAUCCUUAGGCUUAGCCAAGUGUUGAGCGCAAACAUGUAUAAAUCAGUCUAGAAAGCUAUCAGACUCAAUAUCUUUGGGUUCAACCAAGUGUUGUGCCCAAACAUACAUGGAUUUGACGAACUACAAGAUUCAACAUCAUUAGAACCAGCCAAGCAUUGAACCUAAAUACAUGUGGCUCUAAUAAUCUUAUCAUGCUCCAUAUUGAACCACAAGAUUUGAUGAGUCAAAGAUCUUUUUCCUUGUGUUAAGUCAGAUCUUUUUUCUGUGAUGAGUUAGAGAUUUGUUUUUCCUUUUGAAUACAUAAAAGAUAUUUUAAUACUAUCAGAAAAAAAAAGGGAUUUUGGGGCCUUCCCCUCGAUAAAAAAAAAGAAAAAAAAGAAUCAUGAACUAUAUAAAAGCUUAUUGAAUUUUUAGAAGAAAAGAAUCAAUCUUUUCAAAUUGAUAUAAUUUUUAGCAUAUAUAUUUUCAGAUUCUAUCUCUCUAAUAGAUAUUGGUAUUUUCUCUAAAAAAAAAGAUAUUUAAGCAUCAAAGAGUCGCUAAAUUUACAAAAGGAGACCUAUUAUAGGUAUCAAUCAUCAGCCACUUUGGCUUACCAAGCACUAGGUAUCGGCUAUUAACCAUAUUGGCUGACAAAUAAUCAACUCGAUAGAAUCAAGAAAUUAACUGAUUAUUCAACACAUGAAUCAUAUUUCGAAGCAACCCUUGUUAAUUGACGCUACCAAUGAAAACUAAUAAAAAACCAUUGACUAUUCUUCAAAAACUAGUUUAUUAACUAGAUGCCAUGCCUGCGCGAUGUCGCGGGCUUGUGGCAUGCUUAUGCGUUGUCGUGGGUUUGUGGAAAAAACAAUAAAAAAAUUAUUCGGAGAAAAAAUGUUGCAAUCCAUAAUAUUUUCAAGGAAAAAACUACAAAGCUAAAUUCAUAACUAGAUUAAUAUUUAAAAAAUAAAAUGAACAAAGAAAAUUUUGAAAAAAAUCAUAAAAAAAAACUCAAAGGAAAAAAAAACUAUGCAGGGAAAUACUGUAGCAAUCUAUAGUGUUUCAUGAGAAAAUCUACAGUUAUAAUUCUUAACCAGCUCAAUAUUAAAAAUAAUAAAAUCGAUAAAGACAAUUUUGAAAAAAAUCAUAACAAAAAAAAUCAUGUAGGGGAACAUUGUAGCAAUCUACAAUGUUUUAAAGAAAAAAACUACGAAGCUAAAUUCUCUACCAGCUCAAUAUGAAAAAAAUAAAAUUGAUAAAGACAAUUAUGGAAAAAAAACAAAAAAAAAACCAUAUAGGAAAACAAUGUAGCAAUCCACAGUGUUUUAAAGAUAAAAAACUACAAAGCUAAAUUUUCAACCAGCUCCAUAUUAAAAAAAAAAAUCAACAAAAACAAUUCUAAAAAAAAAACUCAAAAAUAUGAAAGAAAAAGAAGAUAAUUUUGAAAAAAAAAACAUGUAAAAAAAUUUACAGUUGUAAUUCUUAAUCAGCUCAAUAUUUAAAAAAAAAUCGACAAAGAUAAUUUUGAAAAAAAAAAACAUGCAAGGAAACACUGUAGUAAAACAAAAACCAUGUGAGGAAAUAUUGUAACAAUCCACGAUGUUUUAAAGAAGAAAAACUAUGACGCAAAAUCGACAAAGAUCAUUUUGAAAGAAAAAAAAAGAUGAAAAAAAUUCAUAAAAAAAGUCAUGUAAGGAAACAUUGUAGUAAUCCAUAAUGUUUUAAAAAACAAAACUAUAGAGUUAAAUUUUCAACCAGUUUAAUAUUAAAAAAAUUAACAAAGAUAAUUUAAAAAAAAACACAAAAACAAAAAAGAAUAAAAAAGAAAAGAAGAAGAUAAUCUUGGGGAAAAAAAACAUGCAAAGCCCAAAAAAGGAAAAAAAAUGUGGGAGAAAAAACAAAACAAACAAACAAACAAACAAAAAACAAAAAAAUGAAAAAAAAGAAGUAUGUGGUAUGAAAAAAGCUAUAGUAUUUUCCUAACACCUUUUAAAAUAUUAGUUAAUAUCUCUAAUUGCAAUUAAAGAUAAAAAAAAAAUACAAACUAAAACACCCCCCAAGGAGGACAUACGAUAGGCCUUUCUACAGUUAUUGAUAUAUCUGUUAUGUCAGAACUCCAAAAACUCUUGGAAGAGAGUAACUACCACCCAAGGUUGUUAAAAUCGCGAGUUGACUCUUAAAAUCUUAUGAUUUUACGAGUUAACAUGUAUAAAACGUGUCAAAUCGGGUUAAAACUCGAAAUCGGUUAAACUCGGUCAAAAUCCGUCAAACUCGGUUAAAAUUGGUAAAAUCGGACCGAUUUUACGAGUUUGACCGUGUUUGAUCGAUUUCAAGUUUUAACUCGCAAAAGUUAAAAAAUUUACUACCUUCCUAUCCGAGUCCCCUAACACUCCACUACAUAGUCCCCACUCCUCAGUCUUCCCUUUCCCCGUUGCCCUAAAUCUCAAAUUUUCAAUCUUAGUAGACUAACACCAGCAUUAGAGGAUCUUGGAUAUGGGAAAGCUUUAUACUGUAUUUUAGGUUGGGAAGGCAUGAUCGGAGAAUCGAAACCAUGGGAAGAUAGAGGUAGAUGGCGAUGAAUUAAAAGAGUAAAUAAGAGAUAUGAAUACUUAUAUAAAGAGAAAUAUUGUGUUUUAGACUAACCAUUUGUUAACUUUAAAGAGAGACGACAAAGACUCAAAGAGAACUUAAAAUACAUGUCUUGCUUGGUGGGAUAUUUGGACAUUAUUUAUAGGAAUUGUUACUAACAUAAAAAAAAAUGGAAGGUGAGGUGGCAUUGUUCAAUCUUUUUUUUUCUUUUUGUAUUUUUAAGUUAUUUAAACCAUAAAUAAAAUUUUAUUUGAAUUAUAUAUUUCAAGGUAUUUGGAUACUUGUAUUAUUUAUUUUAUUUUUAUUUUAAUUAUGUUAUAUUAUAAUUUAUUGUUUGACUGAAAUUGUCAAUAUAUAAUUAGUUAAAAUAUUUUUUUGUGAUUUUACGAUUCGAGUUUACGAUCCGAGUUUAUAUUGUAUAUUUCGUGUCGUGUCAAAAAAACAUUUUUGAGAACCUUGCUACCACCCUUAUAAAACACUUAUCAAAAAGUCAUUUCGAUUAGGGCAUCAAAACGUAACUCUUUUCUAAUUAUCGCCAUAGUUUAUUUCAAUACAAAGGCUAACCAUGAACCAGUUCUUAACCGUACACAUGGCUGGAUAAAAGAUCAAAGAGGUAAGAAAAUCCAAUUAACUAGCAUAAAGCUUUUGGGUUGUUGACUUCCCCUAGCCCAUAAAAUCUCCACCAGAUCUGUUCUUCAAUUGGAAAAAGAGAAAUCAAUUUAGGGUUUUCUUAGGAGAGAGAAAUUAUGUUUGAAGCGAGAUUUGUAGUGUUUGUAUUAUAUUAUACACGAGGAAAAAUUUAUAUUUUCAUUUAAAUUUUAAAAUUAUAUUUACCUAGAAUUAUAAUUAUAAAUAAAAACUGGAGUAAAAAAUAUGGAUAAUGAGAAUAAUUUUUUCAUUAAUUUAUAUAUAUAUUUAUGUAUAUAUAUAUAUAUAUUUAAUAGAGUUAAUAUAACUAAAAAGUUAAUUCAAUCUCGAGUAAAAUUAAAAAAAGAGUCGAGCUAUAAAUUACGAAUUUUUCAAAUUGAAUUCAUCAGACACAGGGGCGGAGCUGGGAUUAGUUAAUAGAGAGAGCCAAAAUUCAAAAUAUAAUUUAUUAUUAGAAAAUUUAUCUAUUUAAAAUAAAAAAAUACUAUAUUAUUAUAUAUAUAAACACUAAAUAAUAAUAAAAAACAAAUCUAAAAUAUUUUGCAGGCCCAGGCCUGCUUGCCGGCCCCCGGUUCGGCCCCUGAAUUUAGACAUUACCGGUUUAACAACUUGAGCAUAACAAUCUAUAAUAAUAUAAUUAUUUUUUUUAGCUCCAAAACAAAAACGUUGGAAACAACGAAAAGUGACGUGGCAGAGAUAGGAGUGUGCAACGUACGCAAAACACAAAAAAUAGCGGGAGGUGAAAAGUAGGAGGGAUUCGGAAAAACAGAAGUUGACACUAGCCAAGCCCAGGGCUCCGGAUUCCUGCACGCCUCUCUCACUCUCUUCUCUGUUUCUUCACACUUUCCUCUCCAUCCUUCUGCUAACUAACUCCUCUCUGAAUUAAAAAAAAUAAAAAUUCUUAGAGUUGUAACGGAUUGAUCAAUCUCCGGCGGCGACGGCGGCAAUAAAUGGAGUCGGAUUCUGCUCCUUUUCUGAUAAUUUGUCAAAGAUGAAACUGAUUAAACGACGUAGUAAUGGUAUUAUCAUCGGUGCGAGAAGCAGUUCUUCUAGGAGAGAAGUAGGGACAGUGCUGGGGUGUUUGUCGCCGAGUAAGGCCGUGGCUCCGUUGGAAUCGGAAGGAGAUGUGUGAUUGAGGAGCAGGAGGAUAAAAUGUUAUGAGGUUCAAGAUGUCUGAUAUUUAAGGUGCUUGAUCGUGUCAGUAAUUGGCCUUGGUGGCCGGGUAAGCCAGAAAACUCUACUUCAAUUUUGUUUUAAUCUUUAUCUGUUAAAUAUUGUUAAUUUCGUUGUGAUUUUCGGUCAUUAACACUAAGGAUAGUGUUUAAUGUCCAAAAGUGAUUGUUCUUAGCACUGCUAAUUAUGCCAUGGAUAACUGAAUUGGGGUUUUUCUAGGCGGAUGAGGUGGUUUUUGAAGCAAUAGUGAAGGAUUCUAAUAGGUUAGCUUUCUUUUCUUAUUUGAUUUUUUGAUAUUGUGUGAUUAUUGGAGGUGAUGAGUAUAAUGUGGAAUUGCAGCCCUUUGUAUAACAUUAAAGUUGUGCUUAGGAAACUUGUCAGUACUCAAGCAAAACGUAGAGGAAUGCGAGCAAUAGAGGUUUGGGCUUUGUUUUGGAGUUUUGUUUAUUUGGUAUUUGAGGUUUUGAAUAUUGGUGUAACUUUGGUGUUGUUAAAGUGUUUUUAGGUGUUGAAGAAGCUGGUUCGCCGUAAACUUAUGUACCAUUCUUAUUCGAUGCAAUUUCAUGGUUAUAUUUCUUCACCUUCUAGUGGCCGUGGUUCGUUUACUCUGGCACAUUGGGGUAUGUUCUGUUUCUGUGUAAGGUUUUGAUAUUGCGUGUGCAUUAAAUGUUUCGUUGUGUGAAGCCAUGUAGUUAUUUAUGCUAGGCAGGUUAGUCUUUCUAGGACACCCCUGUUGGAGAUUUUCUGUUUUUAUUGGACAAACCUUCAUUUCUCUGCAUGUUGCGUGUGGAUGCAGUUCUUCCCAUGUUUCAAUUUUUCCAUUUGUGAGUUUAGGGAUGUGAAAGUUUACGUCUUCCUUUUUAUUUUAUGGCAGUAUCAUGGUAGUUUUUCUUUGAGACAUUGGCUUCAACAAUCAGAUUGGCUUCCUACCUUGGAAGCCAAUCUUGCAUUGGAUGAGGAAUCUGUCAGGAGGGUGGGAGAUGACACGGUUGGAGGACCUGCUGUCUCUCGGCAGUUGCGAAUAACAUGCAUAUUGAUGAGGGAUCUAUUGAUUGGUAAUUGUAUUAUCUGUGCACAAAUAGUUGCCAUUUGUUGUGCACAACUAAAGUGUAAGGUGUUUGUUUUGCUUACUUAAGGUGAACUACUUGCAGAGUCAUGGACUUUCGGAUAUAGAGUUGAGGCUGGAGAAUGUGCAUAUAAGCCCAGAGGAUAGGCAUAUUAAAGUAAAUGCAAGCUUUCCCCCCUCUUAUGUGUUUUUUUAAUUUUAGAUUCUCUGAAUUUAGAAUUAAAUUUGAUAUAUAUAGAAUAAGGAAAGAAAUUCUUUAAGGAGAAUGGCAUUUGAGGAAAACUCUUGUUGAUUUGUGCUUUCUGAUAUGACAACACUUGAUGCACAACAAUUUCAGUUUAUCUAUUGAAGUCAAAUUUUAUUUCUGGUAUUCUGCUUUGAAAGUUUGGUACCUCUUCAACAGCAUUGAAUAAUGGGAAAUUUUUGUGGUUCUAGACUUAUGGUUGAGGAAAGGUUUAUAAGCACAAAUAUUGAGGAACGAAACAAGACAUGAAUAAAUCAGCACCAUUGAAUUAGUGCACCUCCCACACAUGAUUGCAUUUGACAUGAGGUAUGAAUAGAUAGAUAGACCUAAUAGUGUAUCCAGUUAGCGCUGCUAGCAGAGCUACUGAUGUCCUGUAGAUAGCAAUUGCGUACAAACUGUAGAUAGAAAUUGCUGUCGGGAGUGCAAGUAGCUGUUGUGUUCCUGCUCGUGUAAUUUGUACAGUCGAUUAAUUGAAGAAGAUCAACCUUCUCUAAAUGCAGUGCGGCCUGAUGUCUGAGUGGCUUGUCAAAUGUUGCAAUGUUAUAAAGCUUUAUUUGAAAAAUGAUUCUAAACCUUAAUAAGAAGACAGCCAGAGGUAGUCAAGAUGACACCAAACAGACUAUAAAACCAUCAGCUUCUGCUUCGGUACGUUCAUGCUCAAUCGUUUUUGCAGCCACGAACCAUUCUCUAGAUUCCGACCGACCAAAAAUGAUGCUAUGGCUAUUACCAGUCGAACACACACCUCUAAGAUCUAUUGCUCAUGUCAAUCCAAUUAUAACCAGAGCGUCAAGAUUAAAUGUCAUGUAGUCUUUAUUUCACUUGUGAUGAUGGCUUUCUUAGUCAUGAUUAUAGCUGUUAAACUCUACGUACCUUGCUUUGUUGAUUGAUUCGGAAAAUUAGGCUGGGUUUUUUUUUUAAUUGAAUUUGAUAACAUAUUGUUGGACAAAUCAUUUCAAUAUGGUCGGAAUUUUAGUGAUCCGUUUGGAGCUAAUCGGAUAAAAAAUUGACUCGAGGGUGACCCGCUGACCCAUAAAUUGGAUAGUCUCUGGAUUUUGUUUAACAGUUAAGAUCAUUAUAAUUGUCGAGAUUCGCCUCCAAAAAAAUGUCAUCCCUCCGAGAUAUUAUGGAGACCCAAUUUUGGAUGAAAAACUAACAGAUGUGAAGUAUCAAAUCAUCGCAAUGAGAAUCAUAAGACUAUUUUUGUAAAAACACUAAUGUCAUUACAUCUGAUGGAAAUAUAUCUUUUAAGAGUCUAGGGCCGAGAUGUAAUAAUGCAUGUGGUACGGCCUGAUGGUGGAUUUGUUUUGCAGGCGCCCACCAUUCUCACCAUCACCUUGACUCUAGCGCCACUGUAAGCCAAUAAAAGAAAUGAACCGCACGAGCGCCGUUGUUUAUAGUUUUGUGGACGAGGACUCCCUGAUCGAACCACCAUUAAUGCUCUAUGAUUAUAUCAAAAUUCUACGUCGAUAGGAAGUUGAGGAGGAUUCAGGUAAUUUAUAAACCCUAGCUAUAUAUUAUCUCUCUAUUUCAAGAGGUGUAAUUUCAAGAUCAAACCCAUUUUGAUAUCAUAAUUUUAAACAUGAAAUAAUACCUCUUAUAGAGGCAAUCACGCAACGGAUUUAAGCCAACAUCGUUACUUUCUUUCGUCAAGAUGCCAAAUAUGCAAAAUAAUUCUCAUUUCAUAUGCAAGAGAAGUGGCCUCGCGAGCUACGGCCUAUUGCGUUAUUCAGAGAUCAGUGAUUCCAUAUUCUUGAAAGAAAGGUGCAAAAGGAACAUCUUGAGAGACCUUAGCAGAUGGGAUGGCUUUUGAAAGUUAAACAUACUAAUUGCAGAGUAGAAUUACGACUGAGGAAACUUAGUAGAGUAGAUAAAAUUACGACUGAGGAGAAGUAAAAUGCAAAAGUACAGAAAGGGACUCGAUGCAUGAAACCGACACUAUUAUUUGCUAGCUUGACUUACAGAGCUAUUAACUAGGGAAAUGGACUAGAUCCGUGCGUGGCCAAAUGUAACACCAAAGAUCUUGAUUGCCUUUUCAGCACGAACCUUGUAAGAGAUUGUUGCAGUAGCUCGGUUCCUAUGUUUAAUAAACCUGACCUUGCCACCAGCUUGUAGCUUCUUGCUCUUAACGAAUGCAACCCAACCUCUUGUGAGGACUGGCUUCGGGUACUGUCCUGUCUUGCGGAUGGAGCAUUGAAAGGUCCAGGCUUUGCCUUUCUCGUCUGUAGCUUCAAAGGUGACGCAAUGGCUGCCUGGUUUGAAAGGUGGAAGAGACCUGAGAAAACUGAUAGGAACUGACAGCCUCUUCUUAGUAUCAGUCUUUCCGAGGAUCUUCUCGAACUCUGCCAUUUUCUAGGACAAGCAAAAGCAAAGCAAAUGAAAUGGGUUUCUUCUUGCUUGUGGGAGCUUUCAAUGUGCUUAUUUAUACCAGGUUUUUCUCCAUCAACGUGAUCUAUCUUUUCUCCAUCGCGCGAUGGGAAGUGAUGUAUACUUUCCAUCGCGCGAGGCGAUCUAUUUUUUCUCCAUCGCGCGAUGGAAAGUGAUGUAUACUUUCCAUCGCGCGAUCUAUUCUUUCCAUCGCGCGAUGCGAUCUAUUUCGGUGCAAGUAAGUCGUGCGAUCUCUCGGUAGAUCGAAAGGACAAAAGAAAAGGCCACUGAAGAAUGUUUUGUAAGGUAAGAAAGAAACAUCCAUGUCUAGUGCUCGCUACAAGCGAGACGAGAAGGGGAGAUGUGCGAAUUUAUUCUUCUUAAUUUAUCUCAUUUUAUAGUUUUAAUCUCUUAAAAAUAAUAUUGAAUUUCGAUUAAUUAAAACAUAAAAUCCUACAAAUAUAUAUAUCAUUUUAUAAAAUUAGUUUUUUUUUUUUUUGAAUGUGUUCGUGCGAAACAAAUUUCACACAGAUUAAAGAAUGAAAAUGGAAUGCAUAUUACGUAUACAAGGAUUAACUCUAUAGCUUAGCUUUUUUUAUUCAAUUGAAUAUUGUGAUGCAUCGAAUUUUACCAAACAUUCAAAAAAAAAAAAGUAAUAAAACAUCGAAUUUUACCAAAAAUCAAUUACGCUAGAGGUUAAUAAAACAACGAAAAGUGGCGUGGCGGAGAUAGAAGUGUGCAAAACAUAAACAAUAACAGGAGGUGGAAUGUAGGAGAUAUUCGGAAAAACAAAAGUUGACUCGAGCCAGGCCCAGGGCUCCGGAUUCCUUCAUGCAUCUCUCACUCUCUUCUCUAUUUCUUCACACUUUCCCCCCUGCAACUAACUCCUCUCUGAAUCAAAAAAAUAUUCUUAGAGUUCUAUAUCGAUUGACGGCGGCGACAACGACGGCGGCUGCAAUAUAUGAGUCGGAUUCUGUUUUCUUGUCGACGAUGAAACUGACUAAACGACUUAGUAGUGGUAGUAUCAUCGGUGCGAGAAGCAGUUUUUCUAGGAGAGAAGUAGGGACUGUGCUGGGGUAUUCGUCGCCGAGCAAGGCCGUGACUCCGUUGGAAUCGGAAGGAGAUGUGUGAUGGAGGAGGAGGAGGGGAGGAGAUGUUAUGAGGUUCAAGAUUUCUGAUUUUAAGGUGCUUGAUCGUGUCAAUAUUGGCCUUGGUGGCUGGGUAAGCCAGAAAACUCUACUUCAAUAUAUUUUUUUAAUCUUUAUUUGUUAAAUAUUGUUAAUUUCGUGUUGAUUUUCGGUUAUUCACACUAAGGAUAGUGUUUAAUGUCCAAAAGUGAUUGUUCUUAGCACUGAUAGUUAUGGCAUGGAUAACUGAAUUGGGGUUUGUUAUAGGCGGUUUUCGAAGCAUAUUGAAUGGAAUCUGAAUUAAUUUGAGAGAGAGGAGGCAUCUAUGAUGACUAUUUUGAUUUGCUUUGCAGUUUUUUGGAGGCCCUCAGGCAUCCAUUUCUGCGUGGACCAAGAUGGCAGGUGGCGUCAUCCAUGGAUAUCAUGAGAUGGGGUCUUCGCCUCGACUGCAGUUUGAAUUACAGAGGAAUACAUUUAUAAGCAGCCCCAGGUGUGUCUACAGCUAGCAUUUCUAAGUUCUCUAUUGUCACUCAGAUGGAUUCAUCGGUUGUUCUUUCAAGCCUGUGCCUUGAGUGAUUAGCUGGAAAUUUUGACAGUUUCAUGUUCUGAGCAUGGAGUAGCGCCACCAUGCAUCCUGAUCAUUUAUCAGAGGCCUUGCGAACCUAGAAAGUACCCUGUUUUUUUAGGGAAGCACAAGUAUGAGAUGGAACAAUUAGUGUUACUAAUUAAUUUCCUGUUACUUGAAAGAUAUCUUAGUGUGCUUCUAUUCCUAUUCGUACUACUAAAUGUUUGCAAUUUGCAUAUAAAUUCAUUAUAUAUCUGGUGUUUAGUAAUUAUCCGCAUUUCCUUUUCCAAAUGCAGUGCCGCCUGAUAUCCAAGUGGCUAGUCAAAUGUUGCAAUGUCAUAAAGCUUUAUUUGGAAAAUGUUCUACCCUUAAUUUGGCUAAACCUUCAUAAGAAGUCAGCCAGAGGUAGUGAAGAUGAUACCAAACAGACUAUAAAACCAUCAGCAGGGGAACAGCUGAAUUCUGCUUUGGGACCCAAGAACCAUUCCGACCUAAAAUGAUGCUAUGGCUAUUACCAGUCGAACACACACCUCUAAGAUUUAUUGCUCGUGUCAAUCCAAUUAUAUCCUAAAUGUCAUGCAGUCUUUAUUUCACUUGUGAUAAUUGCUUUCUUAGUCAUGAUUAUAGCCGUUAAACUCUACCUAGCUUUGUUGAUUGAUUCGGAAAAUCCAAGACAUAGAUUAGGGCUGGGUUUUUUUCUAAGUUAUUGUUACGGACAAAUCAUUUCAAUGUGGUCGGGAUUUUAGUGACCUGUUCGAACUAAUGGGAUCAAUAAAAUAAAAUUAAAAAAAAAAAAUAUUAUUUUAAUAGAAAAAUUGACUCCAGGGGUGACCCGGUUACCCAUAUAUUGGAUAUUCUCUGGAUUAAUUUUGUUUAAUUAAGAUCAUUAUAAUUGUCGAGCUUCGCCUCCUACAAAAUGUCAUCCCUCCGAGAUGUAACAGAGAUCCAAUAUUUUUUAUGAAAAACUAACAGCAUCUCCUCAACACCCAGAUAUGAAGUAUCAAAUUAUCGCAAGGAGAUCAUCAUAAAACUAUUUUUGUAAAAACAUUAAUGCCAUAAAUAUAUGCACGUGGUAGGGCCCGAGGGUGGAUUUGGUCUUCUUCCUUUUGUUUUGGAGGCGCCACUAUUAUUUGCUAGCUUAUUAAUUAGGGAAAUGGACUAGAUCCGUGCACGGCCAAAUGGAGCACCAGAGAUCUUGAUUGCCUUUUCAGCUCGAACUUUGUAAGAGAUUGCUGAAGUAGCUCUGUUCUUACGUUUAGUAAACCUGACCUUGUCACCAACUUGUAGGUUCUUGCACUUAACGAAUGCAACCCAACCUCUUGUGAGGACUGGCUUCGGGUACUGUCCUGUCUUGCGGAUGGAGCAUUGAAAGGGCCAAGCUUCGCCUUUCUCGUCUGUAGCUUCAAAGGUGACGGUAUGGCUGCCUGGUUUGAAAGGUGGAAGAGACCUGAGAAACCUGAUAGGAACUGACAGCCUCUUCUUAGUAUCAGUCUCUCUGAGGAUCUUGGAGAACUCUGCCAUUUUCUAGGACAAGCAAAAGCAAAGCAAAUGAAAUGGGUUUCUUCUUUGCUUGUGGGAGCUUUCCUUUUACUUAUUUAUAGGGUUCGAAUAAUAUAUUAUAUCCCUAAAGGGAAUAUUGGCUUUUCUUUCAUUGUCUUGUCUUUACAGGUUCGAGAUCGCGCGAUGUGGUGUGGAGAUCGCGCGAUCUCAAAGUCACAUCGUUCGAUUCCCACAUCGUGCGAUCUCCAAACCACAUCGCGCGAUCUCCAACAUGUAAAGGCAACGGCUUGGACUCUGAAUUCAUGUCUCGCCAUUAUAUUAAAAAAAAUACUAAUAAAAGAUAGAAUUUUAACCAAAAAUCGAUUAUUAAUUACAACCAUUUAGCUUUCGAACGCAUAUUAUCUAUAACUAGUACAUAGUUUAAUGACAAAACUUAGAUUAAUUGACAUAUAUAUAUAAUACUUUAUAAUAUAGUAUUUAUCUCUUUCUCAAACACUCACGCACAUUCAUGUCUUAACAUGUUAAACUCUAAUUCUCCUUUGACCGUUCUAUAAGCUUUGAUUUGAUUUUCUUCGGUCAACAAACAUGGAAUAUCUCUUGGAAAAACAUCGCACGACACAGCUGAAAAAGAACCCCACAUCGCGCGAUUCCCAUGUAUCUUAGUGAAGCCGCUGCAUCCGAGUCAACACUUGUUGACCAUCAAGUGCCACUCGCUGUAAAUAUAUAUAAAAAAAUAAUCUAAAUUAUAUAUUAAAACUCAUUUAAUAAUUUAAAUUUUUAUAUUAAGAUAGUUUUUUAAUAUGAUAUCAGAGCCUUGUUGACCAAGUAGAUAAGAUCAAUUCAAUAACUUAAACUAUUCGAUAAGGUUCUAAGGCUUCGUUUGUUUGCUGGAAAGUAGUUUUUUUUUGGAAAGUGAAUUCCAGGAAAAGCGAAUUCCAAAAAAAUGAAUUCCUUGAAAGUAUUUUUCGAUGUUUGAUAGUGUAAUGAAAAAUAAGUUGGAAAACACUUUCCAGUGUUUGGUUAUGUUAUGGAAAAUGAGCUGGAAAAUAACUUAUUAAUAUUUUAUUUUUCUCAAAUUUAUUAAAAUAAUGAGGAACAAAUCUUAAAAAUUAAAAAGUUGAAUGAGAAUGAAAUUGAAAAAAAAAUAUAAUUUCAUAAAUUAUCUCAAAUAAAAUAAAUAAUAAUCAAAAUAAUAGAGAUCAAAUCUAAAAAAUUAAAACAAAAAUGAAAGAUGAAGAAAUUAAAAUAAUAAUAAUCAACAUUUCAUAAAUUAUUUCAAAUAAAAUAAGUAACAAUCAAAAGAAUGAAUACCAAAUUUGAUAGAUAAAAAAUUUCAAUAAAAAAAUGAUAAGAAAAAAGCAAAUAGCAAUUAUAAAAAUAAGGAUCAAAGUUAAUAUAAAAAUAAAAUUUUAAGAGAUGAAAUUGAAAAAUAAAUAUUCAAAAUAAAAUAUAUAUAGCAAUCAAAAGUUUGAGGAUCAAAUUUGAUAUAAUUAGCAAAUAAUGAUAUUUUAAAAUUUUUCAUAACUUCCCGAAAGUGUUUUCCCCCCAAAUUUUUCAGGAAAACACUUUCCUGAAAACUAAGCCAAAUUUUUCUUUUACUGGAGAGUGUUUUCCAUUGACUAACUUUCCUACUGACAAACAAGCACAAGAAAGUUUGGAAAGUGAUUUCCCAGAAACCACUUUCCAGAAAACAAACAUAGCUAAAGGGAAAACACUUUCCUGAAAACGAAGUCAAAUUUUUCUUUGACUAAAAUUGACUGGAAAGUGUUUUUCGUUGACCAACUUUUCUAAUGACAAACAAACACAAGAAAGUUUGGAAAAUGGUUUCCCGGAAACUACUUUCCGGGAAACAAACAUGGCCUUCAUUUGUUUGCAGGAAAGUGAAUUCCUUUUGGAAAGUGAAUUCCGGGGAAAGUGAAUUCCAGGAAAGUAUUUUCCGAUGUUUGGUAGUGUUAUGAAAAAUGAACUGGAAAACACUUUCCAGUGUUUGGUUGUAUUAUGGAAAAUGAACUGGAAAAUAAUUUAUUAAUGAAUUAAUUUUUUUUUCAAAUUUAUCUAAUAUAUAUAAAAUAUUUAAUAUAAAAUAUUUAAUCACUUACAAUAAAAAAAUGAAAUCUAAAAUGUAUAAUGAUGAAUUUUUUUUUAUUAUAUCCUAUAUUCAUACAUAGCUUAUUUUAUAAAAUAUAACUAUAUAUAUCAUAUCAUAUUAUAGAGAAAUAACCUUGUGAAAUAUUUUUUAUUAUUCCAUGAAACCAUUUAUAAUUCCAUUACGUACGAAAUACAUCCGACAAAAAAUAUAGUUUUAAUAAUAUUUUUAGCAUGUAAUAAAAUUGGAUAAAAUAUUAAGGUAUAAAAUUCACUCUAAACUAGUUUUUUUUUUAAUGUUAAAAAAAUAGCACACUUAGAAAAAAAAAAAAAAAAAAAAGGUUCCCGCAUGCAAGUGAACAGUGCAAGAGAAUUGCACUGUUCACUAUUUUUCAGUUAACAAUAUACGCAAUACACUGUUCAUGUUAGACCCACCUCUAGCCACUGUCUUUAUGAACGGAAAAAAACGAAAAAGUGUUUUCCUUUCUUUAACAAAGAAAAACACUUUCCUUUAGCAAUGUUAUAAUAUUUUCAUUGACUGAAUUCAUUUUUCUUUGAGUAUUUUUUCUUGUUGUCACCAAAUAUUGGAAAAGCAGGAAAGUGAAUUCCAGGAAUUCACUUUCCUGCAAUCAAACACGGCUAUAACACACCUUUUCAAGUGAAAGCUCUUUUAGGUUUGAAAUUUACAUAGAUCAACACUACCAUAUUCUUGAUUUUUAUUAAAUAAAUAGAGCUAAUAAGAUUCGAACUCGUGACUAUUUGAUCAUUAAAGCUAUAAUAUUAUGUCAAAAAACCAUCUCAACCCAAUAGCCUAGCUGUUAAAUAAAGUUUAAGAUAUAAUUUAUAUUAUUUUCUAACAUAUUUCAUAUAUUUUAAAUAAAAAAAAUUAUCAAAAAAAAAUAUAAUGAAAAGAGAGGCUAGAGUCACCUCAAAACCCCUAUUACACAAAAUGAAUUGAUUUUACAAAGUUACAUGACGCAGUAUAUAGAAAAAUAUAUGAGAUAAGGGUUUCUUAAGUUUUAAAUUAUAUCCCUAAACUCUCUCUAUAUAUAAACUUUGAUUGUAUAAAUUUUGAAUGCCUAUAAUAUGAAAUCUAAUAAUUUAUUCUGAAAAAAUAAUGAAAACCAGCCAAGUUAAUAAAACAUAAAUCAAAUAAAAUUUUGAAGUUUAGUAAAAAUUGAAUAAGAAAAAAAAUAAAAAUAAAAUAUUUUUUAAAUUUAAUUUAGAUAUAAAAAUGAUUUCAUUUUGAUUAUAGUAAAUUGUUUCAUUAUAGAACUGGACAUGUAGAAUUUAUUGACAAAGUUUUAGUUUGAUGGAUGUAUUUGGGAUCAUGAUAGAUAUUGCAAUUUAAGGUGUUUUUUUUUAGAAAUACAUUAAAAUAUAUAUAUUUAAAAAUAUAUAUAUAUAUAUAUAUAUUAAAAAUCAGAUGUCAAAACCAUCUAAAUAUAUAUAAAAAAAUUUUAAUUUUUUUUUGAUCAAACAGUGUCUUAACUAUACUGUCGAUCUCCCCUUAACAAUUCAAUUAAAAACGAUUUUCGUACACACUUAAGUCCCUGAUCUCUUCUCUCAUCGGCAUAUUUAUUUUCUUUGUUUUCGCAUGACAGAUGAAAAAAACAACAUGAAAGAGAAUACUCAUCGUGCGAAAUCGCACGAUAAGGCCCUGUACGAGAUAUUUCAUGUAUCUUAGCUUUUUGUGUUUUAUUUUUUUGUAUUUAUAACUGUGUUAAGAUAUAUUUUAAAGAGGGCUUCGUGGACAUAUCUUAUAACAGAUUGCAAUUUCUUCGGGCAUCUAUCAUGUGAUUUAUUCUAGUAAUGCAAUUUAAAAUUUUACUUUAACCAUGUUUGGGAUUAUAGAUUUUUUUAAAAAAUUAACUCAUUGAUGAGAUGGAGUUUAAUAAUUAUUAAGACAUGGCGUAAAUAAUUUUCAAUAAAAAUUAACUCAUUGAUAAUUAUAUGAAUCAGGAUGGAAUUAUCUUCAGAAUUUUUCUUUUUGUAUGUGAACAUGAACAUUUCUGGGCACAUGGUAGUGGAAAAAGGAAGGGCCACUUGUGAUUCCUAGGAGCCAUCUUGAUGACGACAAGUCAAAACACAUGAGAAUCUUUUGUUGGAUGGGACCCUCUAGUGACGGAUUGGUAGCUUAAGUUGCUUAAUACGCAAGGGUCAUGAGGCAUAUUUUUCAAUAAAUUUUACGGUUUUAUAUAUUAUUUUGGGAUUGUAAAGAAUAUAUAAAUAUUUUUAUAUCAAAAUACAAUUUAUGUCGCAGUGUGAUUACUCUUACUUUUUAAAUAAUUUUUUAUAUUAAAAUAUAUGUUAUUGAUAUUUUUUAUUUUUUAAAAAUUAUUUUUGAUAUUGACAUAUCAAAAUAAUUUGAAAACAUCUAAAAAAUAUUAAUUUAAAAUUAAUAAAAAAAAUUAAACUUUUUUUAAAAUACUUUUAAAACACAGGUGAACCUAAACUCCAUGGAAUCUAUUAUAAAAUGUAAUUAUUAUUAUUUUUUGUUAUUAACUUAGAUAUCCAGUCAGCUUGUGCACACUUCGACUGAUCGUAUGAGUCCUUAAAUUAAUGACCAUGUAAAUUUUCAGUGACCUUGAAAUUUGUGAGACUCAAACUAGCGACUUCUAAAAUUCAAACUCAUAAUCUAAUCAGUUCAAUUACAUCUUUAAUAUUUUUUUUUUCAUAUACUAUUGGGGGAUGCUGAGGGCAAAAUAUAAUUGUUAUCUAAUCCAAACACGCGUGUCGUGAGUAUCUUAUUGGGAUUGUAUUAUAAAUAGAAUUUGUUUAAAAUUUAAAUUUUUUUAAAAAUAAAUUGUUUUAUUGUGAUAAUAUCAAAAAUAACUUUUAAAAACUAAAAAAAUAUUAUUUUAAUAUAUUUUUAAAUAAAAAAAUAUUUUAAAAAAUAAUUAUUAUUACACAUAUUAAGUUAUUCUAAUAAAUAUGUUAAAAUUAUAUUUAUCUAGUAGCUUUUUAUUAUAACUCCACAAAUAAGUUUAUUGGGUUUUGGAAACCAUGUUCUACCUAACAGCAAGAGCUCUCAUUAAUUCCGUGUCGAAGGGAAACUUGACUCACCAACAAAACGCGAUAACCAAUACAAACAAGCCACAUCACCUGUUUUGCAAAAAGAGAAGACGUGACAUCUAUUUUUUAUCCAAACUCGAAGUAUAAAUUUGGAAUGAACACGCGAGUCUCAAGAGUUUGAGCAUUAUUAAAAAUCUAAAAUGAAAGUGAAAAAAGAGGCAGACAAAAAGGUUCCUUUCAACGUUAAAAAAAGAUGAUGUGACAUCUAUUUUUUUUAGUUUAAAGUAUAAUUAUUAAAAAUGGCUAGAGCCAGCUCGGCCUUUCAGAAUCUUUAUAUCCCAAUUCUGUAUUUCUAUCAUUGACGAGGUAUUUACAUUUUCGACAAGAAUACAUGUAUUUUUUUUUUAUGGGUAAGGGCACAGGCGGAGGCAUGGUAAAGGCUGAGGUAGGCUUUAGCCCAGGUCAAGAUUUUAUCAAUAUUUUUAAUUAGUUUUAUGUAAAAAAAAUUUAUAAUUCUUAAUUAAGUUAUCAAAAAAAUCUGAAAAUUUGCGUGGAGCCUUCUAAUAUGAUGUUUUAGCUUAGGUUAAAAUUUUAAAAAUUUUGAAGAAAUUUAGAAAUUUGAUGAAAAAUCACAAUUUGAUCAAUUUUACGUUAUUGGACGUAAUUUUCAAUCCGACCAUCAGAUGAAGUUGAAAAUUUACGAGUGAUCUUAAAAUAUAUUGAAUAAAAUCUAGUUAAGAUUUUAGGAUGAACGGAACUUGAUAGUGCUAACAAAAAAAAGGAUCGUCAAAUAAAAGCAAAAUGACUCAUUAAGAGUUCAAUGGUUAUUUGCCAUUAAAAAAUAAAAUAAAUCAGCUCUUCCUUCCUUUUAUAUGUUGCCAACUGAGCAGAAUCUGAAUAGAAUAAGAAAGAAAAGAAAAGGUGAGAGAAAAAUAGAAAAAAAUAAGAGAAAAACAUAAAAAAAUUCCUAGAAAAAAAAUAAGAAGUAAGAGAACAACCUUGUAAACUUACAAAGUUCAACUUAUAAAACAUUAAUCUAGGGAAGAAUCAAGUGAAGAAAGAAGAAAUUAAAAGAGAGAAAAAAAUUAAUUACUUUGUUUUCCAGUUGACAUGAGAUUGUUAUUUUAUCUCGGUUGAGGGGUUAUUACAAUAUCGAUUCAGAUUCGAUUAUAGAUGAAUUAUAUUCCACAAAACAUUGAAGGAUGUAACUUUAAUACUGAUUUUAUUUUUACUUUCACUUUAAUUUUAUUUAUUUUUUUAUAUUUUGGAUAGUGUAUUUAAAUUAAAACUUUAUUAUUAAUUUCAAAAAUUCAUGUACAUAAAUUAACAAUCAAUCUUAAAAAUAUUUAUAUAUUUAUUUAGUAGCCCAGAACAAAAACAAUUUCUGGCUCCGCCGUUGGGUAAGGGAUAUCAAUUGAUGAACUAAUGCAUUCAGAAAUAACAUACAAAAUCUUUAAAAGAAAUAUAAAAAAAAAUCUAAUUUAUAAUUUUAUCAUUGUUUAUUUCUUUUUGCUUUUAAAAGAGGUUUAACUCCUUAAAUAAACCUAAAAAAAAACUUAAAUAAACUAUGAAACUUGAAAAUAAAAAAAGCAAUAAAAAUCAUAAACAAAUUAGAAAAAAUAAAAUUAUAAAAUAUAAUAUUUAUUUACCUAAACUUAAAAAUAAAAAUAAUUAGAAAAAAAUAAUUUCACUAAAAAAACUUAAACAGACAAUAAAAAAAAUAAAAUUUUUUAUUACAAGUUAAAAUCCAUGAAAACCAAGAAUACCAUUACGAGGAGACUCUAAAAAUACACAAUUUUAUUAAUUCCAUGUCUCAAUACUAUUACGAGUUUACGACACUUUAUAUAUAUAAAAAAAAACCCGUAGAAAACCUGUUAAUAUUGAAUAAAAAAAUAAAGUAAAAAACCCCAACCCCUUCAAACAAGAAAACAAAACUCGUGCAUCAUUAAUUUUUUUUAUUAUUAGACCAUCAUUUCCAAAUUUAUAUAUAUCAUGAACAACUCAAAUGAUGGCAUUUUCUAAUAAAUUAAGGCUAAUAACGCUCAGAUUUCUUUAAUGAUCGCUCUAAAAUCAUCUUCUUCAAUUUUUCUGGAUGUGUUAUUACAUGUUUCUGAAAGAGCUGGCCCCGAGCUGAUUUAUGACGACAUACCUAUGCAGCAUACAUAGAACUACAAUACAAUGAACUCAUACCAUUCCAUGGACAAAUCAAGGAAAAACCCAGAGCCUGCAGAAACCAAGCAACAUGAUAAAAUCAGGCCUCGUCUUUGUUGAUGAAAGAAGCGAUUCUCUUAAGCAAAGCCACAGCAUUCUCGCAGGUAGGAUCGUUCAAAUGAAACACAUGUUCAUCGUCUUUGCCCUCCAUAAUCUCCGCCGCACCUUCCCACCCACCCUUGCUUAACCUCUCAUAAUAGUGCCAUCCUCUUUCCCUCAAGAAAUCCUUCCCGCCAAUAAUAACAAGCAGCCUGUCGCCCCCCAGGCUAUCCAAUCUUGGAUCAACAAGUGGAUCAAUCAGAGGGUCAUCCAGGCCACUUGAUGUAGGGCAUACAAAAUUCCAUAUAGCAUCGACCCUCGAUCUUGAUUCCAAAUUCUCACCCUCUGUACCGAUGGGUUCUUUGCCCCAGAAAUAUGGAUGUACUAAGAUAACACCUGUGAGGUCAAUACCAGACAGUUUUUCUUGACCGUACCUCAUAGCAGCUUGGUGUGCUAGGUUAGCACCAGCACUAUCUCCGGCAAGAAAAACCCGACCGAAAUCAGCUUGAGAGUUUAGCCACUCCUCAGGGCCGUCUCCGUUGACAUGAGAGGCAACCCAUUUAAGUGCUGUCCAUGAAUCGUCAUAUGCAAUGGGAAGAGGGUGCUCCGGGGCCAAUCUAUAAUCAACAGAGAUUGCUAUAACGUUGGACACCGCAACUAGAUUGUUAAGGUGAUCAUGGUAACGAAAAUUGAAGGGGCUUUCAAUGCAAAAGCCACCGCCAUGAUAGUAAACUAGGACUGGGAGUUUUUUAUCAGGGUUGGUGUUAUGUGGUCGGUAAAGUCUAGAAGAGAGAUUUAACUCCGGUGAAUAGACUGCAUCUUUAGACAGGACGUUUGUUUUGGGGUCUACUCCAGAAGGGACGAUGUCGGUGCCGCUGAGUCUCUCUACGUGGCCAUCUUUGUAAAUGCGAAGGAAGGGAGAGUAAUCGUAGGCAACUUCAGGUAUGGUUGAAUCCAUGGAAAGACGGGAACGAAUCAAAAAAGGGUAGUUCUUGCUUGUUGUGGAUCUAUACGAGAGGAGAGGACGGGAAGAAGCAAACGGCUGAAAACCACUUGUUAGAGAAGGGCAAAGGGAUAAGGAGAUGCACAUGAUUGGUCAGGAAUUGUAUGAGAGAGGGAGCCCUCGAUUAUUGCGCUUUUAUAAAUAAGGAUAGACGUUGCAGGUGUUUCGGAUUUCUUUUGCUAUAUGGUUUUUUUAUUUAAUAAAAUAAAUUGUAAGAUACAUGAAGCUCUAAUAAACAACUAAAAAGAGAAGCUAUCUUUUUUAUAAUAAUAAAAAAAUGAACAUGUAUAUAAAUAUUUUUUAUAAAAUAAAUUUUUUUUUUUUUGAAAAAAUCCAAGGAAUGAAAUAAGACAUAGUAAAAAGUAUCCAUUAUACUAGUAAGAGUAUUCGAGUCCAAACAAAGAAAUCUAACGCAUCGUCCCAUCCCAUUGUAUUAUAUUUUUUUUCUAUAUAAUACAUCACAUUACAUUAAGAAAAUAUAUAAAAAAAAUAUUGAAGCAUUAACCUAUAAACAUCACAAAUUGAAAAUUUACUAUUAUUUUUUUUUAUUUUUAAUUAUUUUUUACAUUUUAAAAUUAUUUUAAUAUUGAAAAUAUUUUUUUAAAAAAAAUUAUUUCAAUAUAUUUCUAAUUAAAAAUAUUUUUUUUAAAAAAAUUAUUUCAAUAUAUUUCUAAUUAAAAAUAUUUUAUAAAGUAACUGCUAUUAAUAAAUUAGCUACGAAUCUUUCCACAGUGGACUAGUCAUUACUACCUAGAUGCAUUUGAGUGUUUUGGGUUUGUAGCAAAGUUAUAUAAAAAAAAUUAAUAAUAAAAAAAAUGUAUUUAUAAAAUACAUAAUUAAUCAAGUCGUCUGCCACACUUUUAAGUAAAACAAUUAAUUAAAGAGUUUAGGAGCCAUGGUGCCACCUCUCUCUCUCUCACACACACAUUUAUGGUGCUAGACAGCUCAACCUCCCGUGUUUAAAAUAUGGAUCAGCCCGCAAAGGCCCCAACCUCUUCCACUAAGCAACUGACCACGUGCCACUCCAGUACAAGCCGCUGGUUAGUAAAAGGUGACUUCGACUUGCAAGGAAAGUUAAUAGAUGCAUCAUUCCCUCAUUUAUUAUAGAUAUCAAAUCCGACGUGGCUAAGUAUAUUCCUAGCUUAUUUAGAAUUGCGAUUUGCGAUGAUAGUAAUAAUUUAAAAUAUUUUUUUAUUUAAAAAUAUAUUAAAAUAUUUUUUUAUUUUAAAAAAAUUAUUUUUUAUAUUAACAUAUCAAAACAAACUAAAAUCAUAAUAAAGAUAUCCAGUGCCUCCAAGCGAGAGGAGAAGGGGAAAUGUUCAAAUUUAUUCUUUUCAAUUUAUCUUAUUUUUUAGCUUUAAUCUCUUAAAAAUAAUAUUGAAUUUCAAUUAAUUAAAUCAUAAAAUCCUUCAAAUAUAUCAUUUUAUACUCUCCAAUGAAAAAACUCACAUUUAAUUGAAUAAAAUAUAUAAGUUAAGCUAUCGAGUUAAUCCUUGUAUAUGUAAUAUAUAUGCAUUCCAUUUUCAUUCUUUAAUCUAUGUGAAAUUUGUUGCACACAAACACAUUCAUAUCCCAACAUCGCACAGUCAAGACUCUGAAUUGAUGUGACCAUUAAUUUUUUUUUUAAAAAAAAAAACUAAUAAAACAUCGAAUUUUACCAAAAAUCAAUUACACAAUUUACUUAGGGAGUGUUUGGCUUUGCGUUUCAACCUGUGUUUCGUCAAAUUUCAAAUUUUGUUUUUUUUUUUUGCUAUAAUUGAGUGCGGUUUGUACUUUUUGGAUCGUUUUGAUGUGCUGAUAUCAAAAAUAAUUUUUAAAAAAUAAAAAAAACAUCAUUGGCAUGCUUUUCGGCACGAAAAGCUAUUUGAAAAGCAACCGCUACCACACUGUCAAACACGCUAUUAAUAAAGGUUUCUCCCGGUGGUGUCUUGAGUAUUGAAGAUAUGCAUGCUGCGCUGUUUUUUUUUUUUGUCUAAUUAUAGUUAUAAAGAGAGAAUUAUUUGAUUAGGUAAAAAAAAAAAAUUCUUUAUACUAGUGUCCAUAUAUCAUUAUGUUUUAAAUUUAAUUUUAUAGAAGCUAGAAUUAUUUAUUUAUUUAUUUUAUAUAAAAAAUUUAUCUCACAAUAAUUUAAAUAAUAUAUAUAUAAUUUUCAUUUUAAAACUGCAACUAAUUUUUUUUUUUAAACCGUAAGUGUAUCAUUAUUGUUCUUUAACACACAUUAUCUUUAGCUUUCAAACGCAUAACUAGUACAUAGUUUAAUGAUAAAAAAUUAGAUUAAUUGCUAUUUUUCGUACUGAUAGAUGCUAACUAGGCCGAGCCAAUUUUUGCUUUUUAUAUAGAAAAACUAGUGAAAUGUUGUUGUUCAUGUAAUUAAAUUACAUAAAAUGAUUUGAUUUUACAAAGUUUAUGUGUAACGCAAUAAUAUAUCAAUGUGUUAUUUACCUAAAAAUUAUGUUUAAAAUAAGGAAAUAAAGAUUGAGUGAUAAUUCAAUAUCAUUAAACCUAGCCAAGUAUUGAGUUUAAGUAUACAUGACUCUAGCAAACAAUUAUAUCUAGUUUUUUUUUGCUCAACUAAGUGUUGAGCCCAAGUAUAUAUAAGUAUGACGAGCUACCAAAUCUAGUAUUCUUUUGAGCCCAAGUAUAUAUGGGUUUGACGAGAUCCUAUACCCAGCAUCUUUAAGCUCAGCCAAGCGUUGAGCCCAGGCAUGCAUAGGUUAAUUUGAUUAGCCACCACAUCCAAAUAUUUUUAGGCUCAUUCAAGUGUUGAGCCCAAGCAUACAUGAGUCUGGCAAAUUACUAGACCCCGCUUCCUUGAGCUCAACUAAACGCUAAUCCUAAACAUGUAUGGUUUUGGCAAACUACCAAACCUAACAUUCUUGGGCUUAGCAAAUUGUUGAACCUAAGUAAAUGUGGCUCUAACAAUCCUAUAAUGUUUCGUAUUGAAUCACGAGAUUCUGAUAAGCCAAAGAUCUUUUUCCAUGUGAUGAGUCAUGGAUAUUUUUUCUCUAAUGAGUUAGAGAUCUUUUACCCUCUGAUAAGUUAGAGAUCUUUUCCCCCCUUUAACACAUAAAAAAAUAUUUUAAUACUAUCAGAAAAGAAGGACUUUGAGGUCCUCCCCUCGAUAAAAAAAUAAAAAUCAUGAGCUAUAAAGAUCUAUUGAAUCUUAAGAAAAAAAGAAUCAUUCUUUUUCUAGCUGGUAGAAUUUUUAACAUAUAUACUUUCAUAUUCUAUCUCUCUAAUAGAUUUAGGCUUUUUCUCUAAAAAAAUAUAUUUAAAUACCAGAGAAUCUCUAAAUCUAUAUAUAGAAAUAUAUUUUAUAGGUAUCAGUAACUGAUCACUUUGCCUUACCAGACAUCAGAUAUCAGCUACUAGUCACCUUGGUCAGAGAGAAGGAAUCAGAUUAUUAAAAGUAAGAAAUUAACUGAUUAUCCAACAUAUAAGCCUUACUAUUAAGCUACUUGAAUUUUCUAAUAUCUCAUUAAUUGACAUUGUCUGUGAAAACUAAUAAAAAAAAACAUCAAUUAUUAUUAUUUGACAAUUGAUUUAUUGGCAUCCUUAAUUAUUGGUAAAAAUAGAAAAUCAAAACACUUUUGUGAUGGGCCAUAUCAUAAUGGAAAGUAAUACUAUCACUAUUAUUUCACAAUUGGUCAUGUCACUUCAAAAACUUCAAAAAUAGAAAAUUAAAAAUCCAAGGAAUGAAACUCAACUGAUUAGAUUCUAGAUUUGUUUUCUAGAGGUUACCAGUUCGAGUCCCACAAACCUCAGAGCCACUGGAGGCUUACAUGAUCUUUAAUUUUAGGACUCGUAAAAUUAAUUGAGAUAAUCACAAACUGAUCUACAUUUUAAAAAAUAUAAAUCAAAACACUUUUGUAAUGACCAUAUCUAUAGUUAUUGACACAUUACCCCACACAAAGUAACUAUCACCCUUAUUCUUUUCUUCUUCUUUUUUUUUUUUUUUUUUUUUUCCUGGGCCACCCAAUCCAACAAACUAAAAUAGAGUACAUCAAACUUAACAUAACUCUUUCCUAGUUAUCGCCGUAGUUUAUUUCAAUCCAAAGGUUACCCAUGAACCAGUUCUUAACCGUACAUAUAGCUGGAUUUAAGAUCAAAGAGGUAAGAAAAUACAAAUUACUAGCACAAAGCUUUUAGGUUGUUUACUUUCCCACGCCCAAAAAAUUUCACCUAGAUCUGAUCUUCAAUUGGAAAAGAGAAAUCAAUUGAGGGUUUUCUUAGGGGAGACAAAUUAUGUUUAAAGAGAGAUUUGUAGUAUUUGUAUUAUAUUAUAUAUGAGGAAAAUUUUAUAUUUUCAUUUAACAUAACUAAUAAGUCAAUUAAAUCUCGAGUAAAAUUAAAAAAGAGUUGAUCUUUAAAUUAUGAAUUUUUCAACUAAAUUCAUUAGACAUUCCGUAUUUAACAUCCUUGAGCAUAACAACCUAUAAUAAUAUAACUAGACACAUGACCUGCGCGAUGCCGUGAGUCCUUUUUUUUUGUAUAAAAAUAUUUAAAAAAACAAAAAUUUAAAAAUCUUGGGUUUUUUUACAAGGCCAUACCUAAGAAUCUUGGGUUUGGUUGCAACGCCUGACCUAAAAGUAAUAUUUAUAAUAUUAAUAAUAAAAUUAAACUUGCAUGACUAAAGUUUAAGUAAGCCUGACUGCAAUACCGAACCCAAGAAUAUUGGAUGUGGGUCUGGCUAUAAGGUCGUGUCAUAAAAGUAUAAUAAUUAAAUAGAUUAAUUAAAAAAAACAAAGAAAAAAAAUCAACAGGAAGGAAAAAACUAAUGAAGAAAAAGAAAAAAAAAUGAAUUAAUUGGGUUAACCCUUUAAACCAGGUUAUCCCGUAAAACCUGGGAUUCGCGUCAUGAAAGUUUGAUAACUAAAUAGAAAAAAAUGACGGGUUUACCCAGAAUUAACUGGGUUAACCCAUCAAACCAAGUUAACCCAUCAAGCCCAGGAUACGUGUCAUGAAAGUAUGAAAGUCUGAUAAUUAAAUAGAAAGAAAAUUAACUUUAACAAACUAAACUAAAUGAAAAAAAUAACUCGUCAAAUCAGGUUAACCCAUCAAACCCGAGAUCCGUAUCAUGAAAAUCUGAUAACUAAAUAAAAAAUUUAACAUUAACAAACUAAAUCAAACAAAAAAAUUUAAAAAGAAAAAAAAGCUAAUAUUGUAGUAAUUCAUAGUGUUUUUUUUUUUUUAAAAAAGCUACAAAGUUAAGUUCUCAACCAGAUCAAUAUAAAAAAAAACGACAAAGACUAUUUUUUUUUAUAAAAAAAAUCAAUUUUGGGUAAAAUAAAUGAAAAAAAACAUGUAAAUAAAAGGAAACAAAAGCGAAAAAAAAACACGUGGGGAAAGCUACAAUGUUUUAAAUAAACAAAAAAACUAAAUUUUCAACCAGUUUAAUAAUAAAAAAAAUCAACAAAAAUAAUUCUGAAAAAAAAUAUAUGUAAAAAUUGACAAUUUUAGAAAAAAAAAAAACAUGUGGGGAAAGCUAAAGUUAGAUUAUCAUUCAACUCAAUAUUGAAAAAAUAAAUUCGAUAAAGAUAAUUUUUUUAAAAAAUAUGUGGGGAAACACUGCAAUAAAACAAAAAUUAUGUAGGGAAAACAAUGUAACAAUCCAUAUUAUUUUUUAAAAAAAUUAUAAAGCUAAAUUCUCAACCAACUUAAUAUAAAAAAAACAAUGUAUAAGAAUAUUAUAGCAAUUCAUAAUGUUUUAAAGAAAAAAAUUACAUAAUUAAAUUUUUAAUCAGCUUAAUAUUUUAAAAAAAUUAGUAAAGAUAAUUUUAAAAAAUAAUAAUAAAAAAGAAAUGUAAAAAAAAAAAAACAAAAGCAAAACAAAAAACUGUUACAGUAAAAAAAACACUGCUACAGAAAAAAACAAAAGCAAAUAAUAAAAAAAAAACUGCUACAGCGUUUUAGAGUUCUUUAAUUAUUUUUUGGGAAACAACGAAAAGUGGCGUGGCGGAGAUAGGAGUGUGCACCGUACGCAAAACAUAAAAAAUAACAGGAGGUGAAAUGUAGGAGAUAUUCGGAAAAACAAAAGUUGACACGAGCCUCGCCCAGGGCUCCCAGGGCUCCGGAUUCCUUCACGCAUCUCUCACUCUCUUCUCUAUUUCUUCACACUUUCCUCUCCUUCCUUCUGCUAACUAACUCCUCUCUGAAUCAAAAAAUAUUCUUAGAGUUCUAACGGAUUGAUCGAUUGACGACGGCGACAACGACGGUGGCCGCAAUAUAUGGAGUCGGAUUAUGUCCUUUUUCUGAUAAUUUGUCGACGAUGAAACUGACGAAACGACGUGGUAAUGGUAGUAUCAUCGGUGCGAGAAGCAGUUUUUCUAGGAGAGAAGUAGGGACUGUGCUGGGGUGUUCGUCGCCGAGUAAGGCCGUGACACCGUUGGAAUCGGUAGGAGAUGGAAGGAUGUGUGAUUGAGGAGGAGGAGGAGAUGUUAUGAGGUUCAAGAUUUCUGAUUUUAAGGUGCUUGAUCGUGUCAGUAUUGGCCUUGGUGGCUGGGUAAGCCAGAAAACUCUACUUCAAUUUUUUUUAAAAUCUUUAUUUGUUAAAUAUUGUUAAUUUCGUUGUGAUUUUCGGUUAUUAACACUAAGGAUAGUGCUUAAUGUCCAAAAGUGAUUGUUCUUACUUCUUAGUACUGCUAAUUAUGCCAUGGAUAACUGAAUUGGGGUUUUUCUAGGCGGAUGAGGUGGUUUUUGAAGCAAUAGUGAAGGAUUCUAAUAGGUUAGCUUUCUUUUCUUAUUUGAUUUUUUGAUAUUGUGUGAUUAUUGGAGGUGAUGAGUAUAAUGUGGAAUUGCAGCCCUUUGUAUAACAUUAAAGUUGUGCUUAGGAAACUUGUCAGUACUCAAGCAAAACGUAGAGGAAUGCGAGCAAUAGAGGUUUGGGGCUUUGUUUUGCAGUUUUGUUUAUUUGGUAUUUGAGGUUUUGAAUAUUGGUGUAACUUUGGUGUUGUUGAAGUGUUUUUAGGUGAUGAAGAAGCUGGUUCGCCGUAAACUUAUGUACCAUUCUUAUUCGAUGCAAUUUCAUGGUUAUAUUUCUUCACCUUCUAGUGGCCGUGGUUCGUUUACUCUGGCACAUGGGGUAUGUUCUGUUUCUGUGUAAGGUUUUGAUAUUGCGUAUGCAUUAAAUGUUUCGUUGUGUGAAGCCCUGUUGGAGAUUUUAUGUUCUGUUUCUAGGACACCCCUGUUGGAGAUUUUCUGUUUUUAUUGGACAAACCUUCAUUUCUCUGCAUGUUGCGUGUGAAAGCAGUGCUUCCCAUGUUUCAAUUUUUCCAUUUGUGAGUUUAGCGAUGUGAAAGUUUAUCUCUUCCUUUUUAUUUUAUGGCAGUAUCAUGGUAGUUUUUCUUUGAGACAUUGGCUUCAACAAUCAGAUUGGCUUCCUACCUUGGAAGCCAAUCUUGCAUUGGAUGAGGAAUCUGUCAGGAGAAUGGGAGAUGACACGGUUGGAGGACCUGCUGUCUCUCGGCAGUUGCAAAUAACACAGUUUUUCUUUGAAACAUUGGCUUCAACAAUCAGAUUGGCUUCCUACCUUGGAAGCCAAUCUUGCAUUGGAUGAGGAAUCUGUCAGGAGGGUGGGAGAUGACACCGUUGGAGGACCUUCUGUCUCUCGCCAGUUGCAAAUAACACACAUUGAUGAGGGAUCUCUUGAUUGGAGUAUGUAUAUCUUAAUUGUAUUAUUGUAUUAUCUGUGCACAAACAGUUGCCAUUUGUUGUGCACAACAACAGUGUAGGGUGUUUGUUUUGCUUACUUAAGGUGAACUAAUUGCAGAGUCAUGGACUUUCGGUAUAGAGUUGAGGCUGGAGAAUGUGCAUAUAAGCCCAGUGGUUAGGCAUAUUAAAGUAAAUGCAGGCUUUCCCCCCUCUUAUGCUGUUUUUUUAAUUUUAGAUUCUCUGAAUUUAGAAUUAAAUUUGAUAUAUAUAGAAUAAGGAAAGAACUUCUUUAAGGAGAAGGGCAUUUGAGGAAACUCUUGUUGAUUUGUGCUUUCUGAUAUGACAACACUUGAUGCACAACAAUUUCAGUUUAUCUAUUGAAGUCAAAUUUUAUUUCUGGUAUUCUGCUUUGAAAGUUUGGUACCUCUUCAACCGCAUUGAAUAAUGGAAAUUUUGGUGGUUCUAGACUUAUGGUUGAGGAAAGGUUUAUUAGCACAAAUAUUGGGGAACGAAACAAGACAUGAAUAAAUCAGCACCAUUGAAUUAGUGCACCUCCCACACAUGGGUACAACUAUCCCACUGUUUUCAUCUCCAUAACUUCUGCUAUAAAGCACUGCUUCAUUGAUCAAGUUGUGUAACAUGUGGUUUCUUUCUUUAAUUGAUGGCUUACUUUGUGAAACUUCUGAAAUUCCAACUUUUCAGGUAGGGAUACUAGGGAAUGCUGCUGACUUUUAUGAGGAUGGUCCAAAUAGUAGCACACUGGACAACAACAUGGACAGACGGUGGACGAUGAUUGCAUUUGACAUGAGGCAUGCAUAAUAGAUAGACCUAAAAGUGUAUCCAGUUAGCGCUGCUAGCAGAGCUACUCAUGUACUGAAUUCUGUUUCAUCCCUAUUGAAAAGAUGUGUAGGAUUUAUGAUGGCAAAAAUGGUGCUGCGGGAGCUCAUGGAUCCAUUAAUUUUCAUAAAGUUCAAAUCAUUCCUCAUGAAGGUACAACAUGCUAGUCCCUUUUUUCUUCUUUUUUUCCUGUAAAGCUUUUGGAUUAAUCAAUCCAGAACCUGGUGCAUUUUUUGUUGACUUGAAUUCGUCUUUUGAUAAGCUCAAGUUUCUCUUCAUUAAUUUCUACCAGUUUCUUGAAGACCAGACAUUGGCAGUCACUUUAUUUGCUCAACAUGAAAAAAAAUCCUAUAGUAUCAUCAUGCAGUACUCAUCAUGUGUUGGUACCGAUCCUAAUUAGGAAGUUGUACUGGCAUAGUGAGUGUUAACUGUGUUACCAAAUUUCUCUUUUACGGAUGAGUGCAGGGAAAUGAUCCUUCGUGCUUGCAUGAAUUUUUAUUGCAAAUCCUCAGUAGGAAUUCUCCAUCUGGAAUGUUGGACUCCAAGUAAGUAGUGCGAAAGCAAAUUACCAUACUUUAAGCUACACCUUUCACAAUAUCUAUAAAGAUUGUGUUUCGUUUCUUCUAGAUACUAACUGUGGUGCCGGUUGGAACCUUUUAUCCUUGUUAUUGGCAACCAAACCUUCCCAAAGAAUAAGGUAUUCAUCAGUUCAUCUCUUAUUAGACAAUAGUAAAGACAACACGAGGCUAACCAUAUUGAAUGGAAUCUGAAUUAAUUUGAGAGAGAUGAGGCAUCUAUGAUGACUAUUUUGAUUUGCUUUGCAGUUGUUCGGGCAUCCAUUUCUAUGUGGACCAAGAUGGCGGGUGGCGCCAUCCAUGGAUAUCUUCAGAUGGGGUCUUGGCUCAACUGAAGUUCGAUUACGGAGGAAUACAUUUAUAAGCUGCCCCGGGUGCGUCUACAGUUAGCAUUUCUAAGUUCUCUAUUGCCAUUCAGAUGGAUUCAUCGGUUGUGACUCUUUCAAGCCAGUGCCUUGAGUGAUUAGCUGGAAAUUUUGAAAGUUUCAUGUUCUGAGCAUAGAGAAGCGCAACCAUGCAUCUUGAUCAUUUAUCAGAGGAUUUGUGAACCUAGAAAGUACCCUGUUUUUCUAGGGAAGCACAAGUAUGAGAUGCAACAACUAGUGUUACUAAUUAAUUUCCUGUUACUUGAAAGAUAUCUUAGUGUGCUUCAAUUUCUAUUCGUACUGCUAAAUCUUUGCAUGUAAACUCAUUAUAUAUCUGGUGUUGGUUUAUAGCUCGCAAUGGCAUUACAUUGACGAUGUAAACUGAUAGCGUAGUAGGCUUUCCAAUUUUAUCGAAUUGAUGGAGAUGUUGAGUUCUCAUUCAAGGCCAAAUGUUAGUAAUUAUCCGAACAACUUGUUCGUAG
RNAcentral lists this long non-coding RNA (55057 nucleotides) under Populus tremula. Its description in RNAcentral is "long non-coding RNA (PTRE_LNC001121)". The record is from RNAcentral. Lineage: Eukaryota; Viridiplantae; Streptophyta; Magnoliopsida; Malpighiales; Salicaceae.